Molecule: long non-coding RNA, 73432 nt
Filed under: Capsicum annuum
Lineage: Eukaryota; Viridiplantae; Streptophyta; Magnoliopsida; Solanales; Solanaceae
Description: long non-coding RNA (CANN_LNC012979)
Rfam family: tRNA (bases 30184-30257)
Source: RNAcentral
UUUUUUAAACUUAACUUUAAAUUUUUAAAGUACAAAAUUAAUAAAUUUAAUUUAAUAAAAUAAAUUUCUAAUGAAUAUUUUCUUAGAAUUUGUGUUGGGUCAAUAUGUAUCAAGUUAAAAAGAAAUAAAGAAAAAUAUAUAGUAAAAUUUUAUUAUUNNNNNNNNNNNNNNNNNNNNNNNNNNNNNNNNNNNNNNNNNNNNNNNNNNNNNNNNNNNNNNNNNNNNNNNNNNNNNNNNNNNNNNNNNNNNNNNNNNNNNNNNNNNNNNNNNNNNNNNNNNNNNNNNNNNNNNNNNNNNNNNNNNNNNNNNNNNNNNNNNNNNNNNNNNNNNNNNNNNNNNNNNNNNNNNNNNNNNNNNNNNNNNNNNNNNNNNNNNNNNNNNNNNNNNNNNNNNNNNNNNNNNNNNNNNNNNNNNNNNNNNNNNNNNNNNNNNNNNNNNNNNNNNNNNNNNNNNNNNNNNNNNNNNNNNNNNNNNNNNNNNNNNNNNNNNNNNNNNNNNNNNNNNNNNNNNNNNNNNNNNNNNNNNNNNNNNNNNNNNNNNNNNNNNNNNNNNNNNNNNNNNNNNNNNNNNNNNNNNNNNNNNNNNNNNNNNNNNNNNNNNNNNNNNNNNNNNNNNNNNNNNNNNNNNNNNNNNNNNNNNNNNNNNNNNNNNNNNNNNNNNNNNNNNNNNNNNNNNNNNNNNNNNNNNNNNNNNNNNNNNNNNNNNNNNNNNNNNNNNNNNNNNNNNNNNNNNNNNNNNNNNNNNNNNNNNNNNNNNNNNNNNNNNNNNNNNNNNNNNNNNNNNNNNNNNNNNNNNNNNNNNNNNNNNNNNNNNNNNNNNNNNNNNNNNNNNNNNNNNNNNNNNNNNNNNNNNNNNNNNNNNNNNNNNNNNNNNNNNNNNNNNNNNNNNNNNNNNNNNNNNNNNNNNNNNNNNNNNNNUAUGAUAAAAUUAUAUUAAUUUUUAUAGUAAUAACAUAAUCAAUUGCUCUUAAUUAAUUAUUAUGCGUCAUCUAGGUAUUAAGAAAAUAAAUAAUAUUUAAUGAAAAAUAAAAUAGACAUAAAAUGCGAAAUUAACUCUUAAUGUUUUAGAUUAAAUUUUCGUCUUUCGAACUAUUACUUUACUAUAUCACUCCUUAUUACAAGUUAUUUUUGUAUUAGAAAAAUAAGAAUAAAAAAAUGAUAUGUCAACAUAAAAUAUUUGAUUGACUAUCAAAAUUAUAUUAGUGCCACAUAAAUUGGGACAGGACGGGAGAAGAUAUAAAACAACAUAUAUUAUUUGAAAAUGAAAUAAAAAGUACUGUAAAUAACAAUAAUUAACAAAAAAAAAUAAAAAUUGACUGAUUUUUGCUUCAGCUGCUUCAAUCGUGAUUUUAAUGUACAAUGAUAUUUAAAGAGGGUAAAAUGGCAUAAUGAGAUUUAAACAGGAUAAAAUGUAUGCAGUAAAGUGUGAGAAGAAUAAAGCAUAAGUAAAUUUUAUUAAUAUAUUUUAAAGAAAUUAAAGAAAAGAAGUAUAAAGAUUAUUUGCAAAAGAUUUUUACAAACUACUUUAAAUAUAAAUAAAGUAAAUUUAGGUACAAAAAAUGUGUAUCUAUCACAAAUUUGCUACCAAAUACUUCGCAUUUUCUUAAUAUUAAUAAAUUUUCUAUCAAAUAUGUGUAGCCAUCUUUCUCAACUUUUUAUAGCUCCUCAAUAUUAAUUAACAUUUCUCUGUUUUAAAAACAAAAGGCAAAAUGCUCUAUUGGACCCCUGUACUAUGUCAGUUUUGUAAGUUGGACACUUCUACUUAUAUAUUUGUCAUCUGGAUCCCUGGACCCACGAAAAAGCUAUAUUUUAAACACUUUCUGGGAAAGUGUAACACACCCUCCCAUGUCAGCUGCCACACGUGUCAUGUCAUCUGCCACGUGUGCCACGCCAUUUAAAAAAAAAUUAGAAAAAGUAUUACAUUAAAUUCAAGUCAUUUUUAAAAUGCCACAAUACAAAUUAAAUAUUAAAAUUAAUUUAAUUAAAUAAAAAAAAUUAUAAAUUAUAGAAAAAUUUGAAUAAUCAUGCUUUUAAUAUUUGAAAAUUUUGAAUAAUAAUUUUAAAAAUAAAAAAACAAUAAAAAAAGUAUUACAUUAAAAUUAAUUAAAUAUUAAAAUUAAUUUAAUUAAAUAANNNNNNNNNNNNNNNNNNNNNNNNNNNNNNNNNNNNNNNNNNNNNNNNNNNNNNNNNNNNNNNNNNNNNNNNNNNNNNNNNNNNNNNNNNNNNNNNNNNNNNNNNNNNNNNNNNNNNNNNNNNNNNNNNNNNNNNNNNNNNNNNNNNNNNNNNNNNNNNNNNNNNNNNNNNNNNNNNNNNNNNNNNNNNNNNNNNNNNNNNNNNNNNNNNNNNNNNNNNNNNNNNNNNNNNNNNNNNNNNNNNNNNNNNNNNNNNNNNNNNNNNNNNNNNNNNNNNNNNNNNNNNNNNNNNNNNNNNNNAUUUAUUAUUUUUAAAUUUUUAAAAAUAUUUUUAAAUUAAAAAUUAUGAAGGAAAAAAAAGGAUCCUACAAAAAAAAAAAAUUAAAAAUAUUUUAAUUUUUUUUAAAAAAAUUAAAAAUAUUUUAAAAUUAUUUUUAAAUUUUAAAAAUAUUUUUACAUUUAAAAAGAUGGAGGGAAAAAAAGGACCCUUUUUAAUUAUUUUUUUAAAUAUCAUUUUUAUUUUUUAAUUAUUUUUUAAUAUUAUUUUUAUUUUUUUAAUUAUUUUAAUGUAAAAUUGGCCAAAUAUUAACCCCCACUCGCACCCCUAGGCGAGUGGUUACACUCUCUUUGUCCUAGUCACCAUGACCUUGCCACAUGUGCAAGGUCAACGGUCAAAGGGUGUGAAAUGUUGCUUUUUGAUUGGUUCAAGGAUCCAGAUGACAAACAUGUAAGUAGAAGUGUUCAACUUAUAAAACUGACAUAGUACAAGGGUCCAAUAGAGCAUUUUGUCAAAAUAAAAUAAAGAAAAGAAAAUCUCGACUCUUCUUUCUCUAUUAAAAAACAACACUCUUUUCGUGUGUUAAAAAUAAUACUUAAACAAAACAAUAGCGAAUCUAAGCUAUGUAUUCUCUUUAUCGGGUAAGUUUACAUGAUUCUUAAUCUUUGCGAUAUUGAAAAUCAAUAAUCUGCUGGAUAUUUGAUUUAAGCUAUUUCAUCUGAUUUACGCCUAUUCUUUCUUUAUAUUUCUGAUUGCAAAAUUCAAUACGAAGGUUAAAAAAAAGUUUCAAUUGUGAUCCCCUUAGCUCAAUCAUACUAAUGAAAAUAUUCUAAUGCUCAAACUUUCUACUACAAGAUAAAUCCUAAAAUUUAAAAACUGUAACCCACAUGUUCUACUGUUGGGCCCGUGCUGACGCGGGCCUUGCACUUCUAGUAAUUCAUACAUAUGCACCCAACAUUGUAUUCCCUGUUGCUUUUUUUUUUAAUUAAUCAUGGUGUGUGGACUGAUUUAUUUUUAUUUUAAUUAAUUUUAUGAAAUGUUUAUUAUCUUUCAUCAAUUAUAGAUAUCACAUAACACUAUUUAUCAAGGCUAAAAUAAAUAAAAAAUUACCUAAUAUUUUUGUCUUUAUUUAAUUUAAAUCUGAGACCUCAUGAUACUUAAAUUUAUUGACCACUACGAGUGUUUCUUUUGUGCUUUUUGGCAAUGUAUUUUAAUUUGAUUUAUUUGACUUCAGUGUUAUCUUUAAAUUUGUAAAAUAAGUUGAAUACAUACUGUCACUUCGUAUUUAAAUUGGUUUAUUUGACUUUUCAGUUGUCUAUGGUGUGUAAAAAUUGUAACAAUUGAUACAGCAUUGAGAUUUCAUACUUGGAGAGUACUACUACUACUUUUGCAAGAAAUAUAGGAGUAUAAUGUUAUCAAAACUUAUAAAACUAGUGGAUUAACCACAUGUUAGAGAUAUCGGUCUUAUCUAGAAUGCGUGUAAAAAAGUAAUUUUUCAAGAGAUUUCUCAAAUAAUAAAAAAAAUUAAAGUGCCUUAUAAUUACAAAGAAUAACUCAUCCAUUUUAUGAAUUAUAUUUUGUCCCUUCUCUUCGCAAGCAGUUUAGCAGAUAAAUUUGUUUCUAAUCAAGCCAUUAGAACAAUUGCUAGUCAUAGACUUAAAAAAUAGGAAGACUAAGUCUUUAAAUUUAGGGAUAAUACCUACGAAAAUACUUAAACUUUAACUAAAUUUUUAAUGGAGCAUAUUGAACUUUGCGGAGUCCUAUUACUCCUUAUACUUUUUUAAUCGGAAUUAAUUCCCCUCCGGACCUUUUGAAAGUGGAAUUAAUCCCCCCAAAACGUAUACCCAGUUUUUUAGGUGGGAAGUGUGGUACACGCGCUUUGUCUUUUUCAUUUUAUCACUUUUAAACAUUUUUCACCAUUACAACCAUAUUAAAGAUUCCACAACUCAUAUUCAUCCUAUAAAUCAAAUUCCCAAUAAUUUCAUUUAGUCAAUUUCAAAUUCCAAGUCCAUUCUUAUCACACAAGUUUUCAAAUUCAAUUUCUAGUUUCAAACUUUGAAUUCCAUUGAGUUUAAUCAAAAAAAUUCUUGCACAUUAAUUUUCUUGCACAUUGAAAUUAUAUGAAUUCACUUGAAUUUCAGUUUAUGUAUAAAAAAACAUACAUUGAAUUCCAUUUCCAAAUUCCAUUUCCAAACAUACAUAAUUUUCUUCAUCCGGGUCCUCAAAAGUUUUCAAAUUUCACUUUCAAAUUACGCCAACUCAAUUGAAUCUUCCAUUGAGAUUCAAAUUCUAAGUCCAUUCAAACUCAAAUUUCUUGAAAACUUUCUUCAACAAACUUUUAAAACUUUCUUCAACAAACUUUCUUAAACUCAAAACUUCAAACUUUCUUCCAUUGAGUUUUCAGUUUCAAUGACAGAAUCUUCAAGAAUAGAAACUGAAACGGAAUGAAAUGGACUGCAACAAAGAGGAAGAAGAAACUGAAACUCAAGAAUAAAGAAGAAAGGUGAAAGAACAAAGAAAAACUUUAAAUAAAUAAAAAUAUAAAACUUUAAAUAAUUAUAAAAUUAAGGGGUUGGUUGGCAAAAAAGCGAGUUUAAAAUGUUUUUAGCACUAUUCACGCGCUUAAUACGCGUGACUAACACGCAAUGUGCUAAGUGACAGAUAUGUACUAUUAAAAUACGAAAAAAGAAGUCUAGGGGUAAUAGACCCCCCGCAAAGUUUUGUAUGCUCAACAUAUUUUUGUGAGUAUUCUCCCUUUAAUUUAUAUAGAUUUUCUUCAUUCAGUCGCAAAGCAUGCUUUCAUAUAGACUACUUUUGUUGUUUUUAAUUAAGAGAAUGAAUUUCUGUCGAAGUUAAUGAGAUUAUAGUGCUGUCCACGACUAAAUGGGAAUUGAUCAAAGAAUUAUGGUGGGACAGCAUCACCAAGAAUUCUUCAACAUUAGAAAAGUUGUUUGGUUAAUUAGGAAAAUGGCAAAAAUGAGUAAUAAAAAAACAUUCAAAAAGAUGACUUUUUGACUCUCUUCAUUGGUUGGUUAGGAAAAAGGCUAUAAAUCGGUUUACUUUCAUCAUGAUCACUUUAUUUCAUUUUAUUAUAUUAUUAUAACGGAUUUUCUGGUAUACAAACUAAAUUGUCUUAAAAUAUUUAUAGUUCUGAGAUUAUAAUUAUGCACAUGAUAAGAAAGUUGAAUGAAAUAAGGUGAUAAGAAAGUUGAAUGAAAUAAGGUAAGAUAUUCUAAAAUUAAGUUUUGUACUAGAUUUAUAUUAUAUUUGAUUGACGCUAGAUCUUAGAAUAUUCCCAAUAAUUCAUUUCUUUAUCCAUCAGUUAGGGAAAAAGAAACAAGAGAUGUUAACACCAGACUAGUAUUACUAGUACUAUUUGCUCAAAUAAUUUUCAAAACUGAACCAUCUUCUUGGCAACUUCCUGAUGGAAAAUCCCAUCAUGACAUAUCAUUGUGGUGCUGUAUUAUAGUAAUACCACCUGCCUUAGAUUAAUUAAUAUAAUGAUAACCAUAGAUCUGGAAUAAGCGGUACUUUAUUUUAUUAUCAAUUUACCAAACAUUAUUCUCUGAAGACAACCAUAUUAGUAAAAUAAUGGUGAAGUAGCUGAUCAAGAUGAAUAAUAAAUUGAGACGUAUUCUGUUUGUUUGUUGUAAUACCUUCCGUCAUUUUAUGUUUGAAAAGAUUAUGUUGUCUUUUAAUUUAUGUAUUUGUCAGCAAUCAGCACCUAGACUGCUUCAAAGUGGUUGAUGAUCCCCCUGCAAUGAUGACCUUUAUAAAUAUUUUAAUCUUUUGAAAUUGUAUAGAUGUACUGUAUAAUUGGUGAAUUGAGAUACUAUGUUUUAUCUUGAUUUUUAAAUGUCAAGCAGCAAUAACGACAACAAUAUAUUCAAUGAAGUUUCAUAAGCGAGAUUUGAGAGGGUACAAUGUACACAGACCAUAUUCCUACUAUGGUGAAGUAGAGAGUCGGUUUUCGAAGGAGGACCCCGCUUCAUUCAAAUGUCAAGCAAACUUUGCUACACCUAAAUUGAUUUUUUUUUUCUAACCAGUAUUACUUUUGUGUUAAUUGAAGAUGAACAUAGUAGUUAAAGGUCAAGUCAAAUCCACUAAAAUAUAUUGCUUAUGUAUUGAAUAACGCUUGAUCUUGUAAUAAAAAAUCAAAAGAUAUUAGUGCUGCGUUUGGUUAUUAUUUUCAGAACAGUUUCAUACAUGCUAUAUUUUCAACUGCUCUUAUCUCUGCGAAUUCUAAUUAAGGUAACACAUAUGAUGAGGUUUCUCAAAGAACAGGUCUAGUGAAAAAAAAUAAUAAAAAAACAAUAUACAGUUACAAAUUAAAGUCUCCAGGUUCACUUUGCAAAUGAAGUUCUCUAUUGGUUUUGUUUAGUUAUUGAAUCAGUUUUUGGUGAAGAUUUAUUAAAGGGUUUCCGUGAUUGGUUUUAGGUUUAGGAAAAAACCAAUUCUAUAAUCCACAUUCUAUCUAAUAACUAAGCUCAAUAAACUUGAACUUUUCCAUUCAGAGGGAAGAUCAAAAACCUAUACGUAUAUUUAAAGGCAAUAAACCCCUUUAAUUACACAAACUAGCUAAUAACAAAAUUUUUAUUAAAUGUAUUUAAAAUAUGAAAAAGUAAAUAUACAAAAAAUUUAACAUAUAAUGUAUAUACAUAAAAUGACGAAAGACCUUAUCUACAAUUCUAAUGAAAGGGUGUCAAUUGACACUCAUUGGAUAAAGAUACCUUCGCCAAUGAUAUGUUGACUACAACCCCGUAGAGGGAGAAAGAUAGACUUUAGUUUAAAUUUACUCUCAACGGGAUGCUUAUAUAAAUCCACUAAAUAUAUGACAUGUGUCUUUACAUAUGAUAUGAUUGUUUACCUCAAAGCUCAAAUUGAUAAAUAUACUAUUUUAUCUCACUUUUAUACUUUAACAUAUACUAAACUGAUCAUGUCAUUUAGUUUAAAUAUCUAACUAUGAAUAAUUGUUUUCCCUAGCUCAUGAAAGUAUGGUAAAGUUAAUGUGUUCUAACUAUAAGGAAUGGAUCGACAGCUUUCGUUUUCUAAUCGAUGUACGGUGAAUUGAUUGACAUCCUUUUAUUCUUAAAUAUUAUGUUUGAGUCCAUGGAAAUGAAAAAGUCUUAUUGAGAUUGCCGCUUCCAAUUAUUGAACUUUACAGUACGUGAAUCUGAAUUUAGUCAAUCUCAAUAUAAGAAUUGUAGACCGUGUGAAAGUUAAAUAAAAAAUGGGCCAAUGCUUACAAUAUUCAGGAGUAAAGUUUUUCUCUGGAUGUGAUGUGUGAGGGACAAGAAGUCAAGCACAAACCUUGCAGAUUCUUCUCGCACGAGAAAGCUAAGUGAAAAUGAUAGACUAUGAUACGGCUUUAUUAGUGGAAAGAAAGAAGAAAUUGGAGUUAGAAUAGUCAAAUUUAAGUCGCAAUACUAGUAAAUGUUAUCCAACUAAAUAAAUUUGGCCAAUAAAUUUCUAUCUAUAUCUUCUACGAGAAUGAGAGUAACGAGAAAGUACAUUUCUACUAGGAUAUUUUUACUAGUAUGUAUGAGUAUAUUUUUACCCGUGAUGUGACUAAAAGGUUGUUCGUUUAAGUCGUGGAAAUAAUUCCUUGCAGUGAUGUAAAGUGACUUUGUGUACAAUAAAUACUCGUGGUCCGAAUCUUCCUUGAAUCCUGCACAUUGCAAAAACUUUAGUCCACCAAGCCAUUCUUUAAUAUAUUUUUAUUGAAAACAUUGUGAAUUCUUCCCUAAAAUGAAGCAAGUUUUGAUAUAACUAUUGUUUCUUUCAUUUUUAUUGUUUUUACUAUUAAUAUAUUGGUCAAGUGUAAGUAAUUUCGGGAUAAAAUAUUAAGUUUUCGAGUCUCUCGUUAUUCAUUAGAGUGAAAAAGUUGAAUGUUCAAAAAUAGAUUUCCGCUGCCGGGGCUUGAACCCGGAUUCCUUAUAGAUGGGAAUUGCCAGUGCUACAGCAGAAUUUGUGUUAGAUGUUUGUCAUUGUCAACAUAGUAAUUAAUAUGAAUGUUACAGUAUGCAUGAAAUUGCAAAUCUUAAUUUAAAUAGGUUAAAAUUAGUAAAUUAGAUAAAUUAUUAACUUGAUAUUCACGUGAUUGUUAUGAUACAGUAUUAUUUUUAGAGUAUUUUGAGCAAUUUUUCAUGAGGCAAGAAUCUGUCAGAAAAAAAUAUUCUACCUUUGUGGUAGAAAUAAAAUUUAUGUGCAUCUUCUGAGAUAGUAGAAUGAAGAUCAUAGUCAACCUUUUAACAUUAAAAAGAAUAAAUAUUUCUUAGUAAAAAUUAACGAAUGAGUAGUAGUAUGAAGAUAUUUCUAAGCUAAUUAAUUAAGAGCUUAAUAUUUUCAAAGUUUACGGUCUCAUUAUAUUUUUUCUAACUUCAAAUUAAUUUUUUAUUAUAGCUUCUUUUAUUUUUUGUAUUCUUUUUUUUUUUUUUUUAUUAACUGAGUGUCUAUUGAAAAUAAUGUAUAAUUUCUGGGCAAAUAAAAUAAAUUCAGAUAAUUUGAGGCUUAGAUAUAGAAAAUUUCAAUAUUUUGUAUAAUUAAUGAAAAUUUCAAUUUUGGAUCUAUUGAGAUACAAAAAUAGCUACCGAUACAUCCAACGAAGAUACAUUAUUUUUCCUGUAAAAAUAUAUAAUUAGUUCUCGAUACAUUUUUUUUUAUUUUGGGUCUGUCGAGAUACAUAAUAUAUACAACGGAGAUACACUUUUUCUUUUGUAAAGAUACAUAAUAUAAUUUAUUUUUGAUCUGGGGUCUAUCAAAAUAAAUAAUUAGCUCCGAACAUCCAACGAAGACACAUAAUUAGUUAGGAUUUUGUCAUUACUUUUGUAAGGGUGGAGAUUUAUGCAAAUAUGAUAAGUUAAAGAUUUAUGUUUAUGUUGUUGUUUUUUUCUUUGGAAAAAAAAUGAAAAUAUACAUCAUUAGAUUAUAUAUUGCAAGUCAUAGCAGUACUUCUUAAAUUGCAACUAAUAACAACUUUUAAAAGAAAAAAAAUUAAUAACUAAUUUAAAACAAAAAAAUAUUAAGAAAAAACGUUUUUUAAAAUAUUUUUGUUAAAAAAAAAUUCCAUUUUAAUAGGAGUUAGUUAUUAUGUGGGCUAAAAUUAUGGAAACAUAUUUUUUCUUAUUUCUUCAAUUAUAUUUAUAUUUUAUUUUUAUUUUUUAAAAUAUUUUCCUUCUCUCUCAAUAUUUCUUACCCACUCUUUCUAUAAUUACAAAUUACAAUACAAUAUCCUUAAUUUCUAAUUUAUGAAUUUUGACUUUGCAAUAAUAUUGAUGAUAGAAUUACAGUAUGAAAAUUGAUGCCAAUAAAUAUUAUAUGUUAAUAAUUAUUUGUAACGUGUGAAAUUGUAUACAAUCUAGUAUUGAUGUGUUAUUUUAAAUAAUUAAGUUGAAAUCAGUUUAUAUAUAAUGAAGUCAUAUUUUAAAUGAUUUUCAAUUUUUUUAUUCUACCUACAAAUAAUAUAUUCGUAUAACUAUUUUUAGUGUAUGAAAAUGAUACAUAAUAUGAUAUUCACGAAUUAGUUUAAUAAAUUCCGUUGAAGUCAGUUUAUAUACUCAUUUCAUUCUUAAGUAAUGUUCUUUUUAGUUCUUAUGAAAUUGAUAUUAAUGAAGUUUUGUAUAUUUCAUAUUUGUAUGAAAUGAGUAUUCUGAAUAUGAUAUUUGCAGAAUCAAUCAGUACGAUUUUUUUUUUUUAAAUAUGCAAAAGCUGAGAUAAUAAAGAGAAGAAGGCAUGUAUCAAUGGAGUGUAAAUAUUCAAAAGCGGAAAUAAUAGAGAGAGACUUGUAUUGAUGGAGUGUAAAUUUUAAAGAUCAAUUUUAAAAAAGAAGAAUUGAAAGGCGUGUAGAUAUUGGGAAAGUAAAAGAAGAAAAAAUUUAAGUUUUCUGAAAAAGUAAAAAAUGUGGAUCUAGAAUGUAAAUUCAACACAGUAAUUUAGACUAAUGGAAAGAGAUUAAUACAAAAAAAUUAGGAUAAAUAUAAAAUUAUAUCUAAAAAUAUUUUUUAAAAUAAAAGUAAAUAAAUAAUAUUUACUUAAAUCUGCUACAACUUACAAUUUAAAACACAAUUCAAUAAUUAUAUAAAAAUAGUAUUACAAAUUACAAUAAAUAAUCUAAGCAAUUAAAAAUAUAAUUCAAUAAUUAUAUAAAAAUAGUGGUACAAGUUACAAUAAAUAAUCUAAUAAGUACAUGUAGGAUAAUUUUCACUUUUUCUUUUAUUAACUGAGUGUCUAUGAAAACAAUGUAAUUUUUGUUGAAGUGGGUUUUGGCCCACAAGCAGUGAUGCAACAGUCCAACAGACCCGAAAUAGGCCCAAAAUUAGGUAAUACCAGUAACCCUAUUUAGGGCAAAAUUAUCAUUUGCAACUUAAUAGAAGACGAGUGUUUUCUUUGGGUUCUAAGGUUUUCCAGGUAAAAUUUUCCGUUCCUCUUAGCCCUAAUUUCUUGUUGAAAUCGUCUGUGUUGAAAGCUAACAUUGCCAAAUAUAAUUCAUAGGUUGAUAAUAAGGAAUAGUUUGGCGUUAUUGAUGAUUUGAUUUGAUUUUUUUUUCAAGGAGUCGAAUAUGAAGCCUUUAUUCGUGGGGAAUGUUGGGUAUGAUACACGUCAAUCAGAACUGGAGCGAUUGUUCUCCAAGUACGGAAGGAUCCAGCGUGUUGACAUGAAAUCUGGUAUCUAUCUUCCUUUUGCUUUCUCUCUCGUAUAUCUGUUGAUUUAGUUAGUUUUAUGUUCAUUCGACGGGCAAUUGCGGAACCACAAUUUUCAUCAAGGAAAAGCCUAGGUGAUUCGAACAUUUACUGUAUAUACAUACAAAGUAAUUUUAGCCUUAGCCAAAGGGGAUGAAUCUCUUGCCAGUUGCCCCAAUGCAACUCCGUCCCUGUUUGAGGGGUUGAGAUUAUAGCUCAGCUUAUUUUGUAAAGUGCUUUUAAAAAAAGUACUUUUGGUGAGAAACUGUUCGUCUUUGACAAGUACACUUUUGAGCAGCAGUUAGUGUUUGGCUGAGUUUUUUAAGUGUAUUUUUCUUAAAAUUGCUUUUAGAUAAACGCUAUUUUUUUAGCUUAUGAAAAACAACUUUUGCUACUAUCUAGAAGUACUUAUUUUCUUCCAAAAGGUAUGCGAAACACCUCACUUUUUAAAAUAAAUAUUUUUUAGAAAGAAAAAACAUUUUUUUUUAAAAUAAGCUUGGCCAAAUAGACUAUUAUUAGUGUUGGUUUCUUAAUGCAUCCAUUCUUGAUGCCGUAAAUUGACUAAUGAGAAAAGAACAAGACCCAAAUUGCUUUACUUGUGCAAUUAUAUUGCAAGUUAAAAUGCAUUAGGUUGCUAUAUCUUUAGUUGUUAGAAAUUACGUGAUUCUUGAAUGUCAUGACUCUUGUUCUUAAACUCUAGUCAGUGCUGAAUGCUGAUCUUUAUGGAGCUAUUAAUGUUUGUUUCUUUAUUCUAUUGCCUUUCGGCGCAAUGCCACAGCCGGUUCAAACCGUGAAAAGAGAGUACGCUGGUACAAACCAGUGUAAAAUAAGUCUAAUUAGGAUAAGUUUCCCACGUCUCACACAAAGGUUUCAUAUAGCUGACCGCCUGAACCCAAUUAGUUUUGCACGAACUCUAUCAGGGUUAUUGUUCAUUUUAAUUAUCAUGCAGAUCCCCCUUCCCAGCAUAUGAGUAUAGUUCUUUGUUUCUUUAUGGAUACUGCAAUGGUGAUUAUCUGGAUACUUGGUUGUAGCUUUGUAUGUGUGUGUACAUGUGACAUGGCAAGACAUGGUGGGGAGUCAAAUGUGAAAUUCAUUUGGAGGAUCUCCAUAUUUAAGUAUUUCUUUUGACGCAGGAACAUCUCCUAAGGAGAAAGAGCUUAUAUCAUGGCUCAGCACUUGCAAAAACUUCUAUUGCAAGGCAACUUAUCUGUCUUCCUGUACUCCCUUCUCAAUGAUGGAACCGUUCUGCAUUUCUUAGACCGAUCUUCUGUCAUUCACUUACUUCACUGUCCAUGUCGCCUUUUUCCCAAGAAUGGUUGUGGUGGGAUGUAUUUGUUCUUCAUGCCAUGCCUACCACUACUAAUAAGCAGAUCAAUGAAUUCUAUCAUGCCAUGCCUCCAUAUUCUGAAUCUUGCUGUGAAAUUGGUGAAGCAUGCUUAGCAAUGACUACUCAGACUUGAAUUCUUGGGCUUAACCUUUAAUAAGACUUCAUCAUCAUCAUGAUUUUGUUCAUGCAAGGCCCCUCUCUCUCUCCUUACUUUCAUCAGGCCUUCACAUACUUGCAGGUGUUGUACUUUUUUAUUUCCUAAAGGGGAUGAGAACUUUAAUUUAGCUGAUGUACACUCUGCUCAAGAGAUUUCAAACUUGUCUUGCUUUUCAUCGACCUUACAAUGUAGUCUUUACAACUAUAGGCUUUGCUUUCGUCUACUUUGAGGAUGAGCGUGAUGCAGCUGAUGCCAUCCGUGGUCUUGACAACACGCCAUUUGGUUAUGACAAGCGCCGGUUAUCAGUGGAAUGGGCAAAGGUACUUCCUUUGCACUCUUGCUUCUCAAAUUUGGUACAUGUUAUCCUGUUAGACAUUACCUUCUCCACGAGGCAAUAGAAUUGAAAUUGUAGUCAACAGUUUAUGUAAGAACCAUGGUUUGUAUCUUUGUUUUGGCAGGGUGAACGUGGUCGACCUCGUGAUGACUCCAAGGUUGCAGCAAACCAAAGACCAACAAGAACUCUGUUUGUCAUUAACUUUGACCCUAUUAACACUAGGGUGCGUGACAUAGAAAGGCACUUUGAACCGUAUGGAAAGAUCCUUAAUAUUCGAAUUCGUCGGAAUUUUGCGUUUGUGCAGUUUGAAAAUCAGGAAGAUGCCACAAAAGCCUUGGAGUGUACACACAUGAGGUUGCCACUGCAUUUUCUUCUAUUUACUGAUAUGGCAAUUUCUUGUCUGUGCAGUGCUAUUUUUUCUUGUUUCCUGACAAGAAGUGAGGCUUUUGCAUUUGCAGUGAGAUCCUUGACAGAGUCGUUACGGUAGAGUAUGCUUUGAGGGAUGAUGGCGAGAGAGGGGACAGGUUUGACAGCCCUAGAAGAGAUUAUGGCAGGCGUGGUGAUAGUCCUUACCGAAGAUCACCAAACCCAGUGUAUCGCAGGGGUCGGCCUAGUCCUGAUUAUGGUCGUCCUCGUAGCCCAGUCUAUGACAAAUACAAUGGUCCAUCAUAUGAUCGGUACAGGAGUCCUGACUAUGGGAGGUAUCGCAGGUAGAUUCGUAGUGUCUGACAGAGAAACUUAUUUUUACUAUUUGAAUCUAGCUAGAGUGCUUAUGCAAUUCUGUAAUUUUCCUUAAGUGGGGGCUUUUGUUCACUUUUACUUCUUGUUCACUUUCUUUUUCCUCCAUAACUUCAGCAGAUCACCUGUUCGGAGGUCAAGAGCUUGAAGCAGUAAUUUAUCGGACGAAGAUCACGGCUCCUUUCUGGUGUCGUAAUAUUACUAUAUGCUGUGUAUUAGUGUUAUGGAUUGUUUAUUGUAGCAUUUUGUAUCUCUUAAACUAUAGAGAGUUUGGUAGUUCAUUUUGGGUGUUGGAAAACAUUUGCAUGGGUAGAUUCACUGCCUCCGCUUGUUCUGAGCAGUUGGCACGAAUUGACGCCUGAACGAAUAGGAACAUAUGUAAGAAAAUACUUGAGCAAGCUUAUGACAAUAUUAACAUGUGCUCCAAUUGCUUAUACUCUCUUCUGCCUUUUCUUUCUUAUUUUGAUGGUUGCCCCAAAUUUUGAGUUCAGGUUUGUGCAAGCAUAUUUCAACGAGUACAGCAGAUAUUACAAUCUUGAGAUUUGGGUUAUUUGCACCUAUUGUAACUUCUAAAACGAACCUUCUCUUUCAGAAAAUUGUCCAUAAAACACUUGGAAAGUUUGUCUGGAUGUCAGAUUGUUUUGUUUCCCAGUAGAGACGGUUGCUGAUCCUAUGAUCAUCAGCCCAUUUAACUUUUCAGAUCAGUGACCAAGUUCUUUUUCUGUUUUUAGAAUAUCUCAAGUGACACUUACCCGAUACUGUGCCGAAGCCAAAACGCUUAUUCUUUGGGGUUGCCCCUAUAGAGGACUCAUCAUACAAUAGUAUGUCAAAUCUGAUGUCCAAGUUUCAUUGGUCUUUCUUGAGACAGGUUCUUCUGUGGUUACUACUUUUUACAUUUUACAGUUUGAAUUGAUUCUUCCAAGAAUGAGUCAGCAAACCGUUCUAAUUGGAUGAUGAAAUUAAGUUAUCAUCUGGUAAUAUCUAUUUCCCAUCUGCUAUAACAAAGCUUAAUCUAUGAACAAGGAAUCCAUACAAGUACAAUUUUGAUGCAUUUGUUGCAUCAUACAUGGAUAAUGAGCUAUCAAUGACCAAUACAGAUCGUGUUCAAAAUAAACAAUGUCACACCAUAUUAAGAGUAUUUAGACGAACUUAGCCCUUCAGAAGCAGCCGGGGUUGAACUGUUGUUGGAGUGCUUUUUCAAGCCAUGUUUCAGCAUCCUGCAUCAUCUCUGGGCUAAGUCUGACCAUGAGUAUGCAAAACUCAUUUUCAUCCAAUGCUCCAUCACCAUCCAAGUCUCCUUCUCUCACCAUAGCUUCUGCAUCUUCUCUGCUCAUUCCCUCCAUUCCCAAAAGCGCAGAGUUUUUUUGCAAACUAGAGGGUGUGAUCAACUGGAUCGUCGGGUCAGCCAGUAGCUGGAAUCCUCCACUUAGCUCCUUAACAAAGGUAUCCACGCCCAGCUUCUCCGCCAUCACCGGUAACAAGUCUUGAUAUUCGCUUGAUGCUUCACCAACUUUGCUUUCCAUUCUCUUCUUAAUGUGUGUUUGGUUAUGUUAUCUCUACUGUAAAAAUGAAAACUCAAGCUCAGCGUACUUAGAAAGUUGAAUUAAAAUCCCUUUUUGUAGUACAAAUUUUCUAAUACUAUCAUUGAUCUAGGUAGGGAAGUUGGAAUUUAAAAAGUCUAUAUAAGAGGGUGGGGAAAGGCUACGGGCUAUGGUCCAUAUUUUAACAGUGUACUACUGUACCAAUUGAAUGGAUAGGUUGUGUUGGACACCCACUCCCAUCCCCCACCCUCCCUCUUUUUUAUUUGACAAUUUGAUAUUCAAAAUCGACUUUUCUAAGUAAUGGCUGCUUAAGACCCAUUAUAAAGGCUAAGUUCUUCCUCAAAUUUCCUAUGUUUUGGGACCCUCCGAAUUUGUAGGUAAAUAUGGUGUAUAUGCUCACUAUUAGAUACAUGCGAUGCAGUUUCAAAAUUCAUUUGAACAUAAAUUUACCUUGUAUUAGUUUUAACAAGUAGUUUUCUCAACCAAUAGUAAGACUAAAUGUUAUAAGACUUGAAGAAUAUUACAACUGAUUAAAAAAUAAUAGACGGCGGGAGCCGGGAGAAUAGUUCCGAUCGAAACUAUUACAAAGUAUAUAGAUAGUAUAUACUUUAUUCUAAACGUAUAUAUAAUACAUGCAUCUAUAUACAGCAGAUACACUAUCAAUAUCUAUAUUGUGUAUAUUUCGGCCAUAUUAGUAAACUAAACGACUGAAUAUAUAUAUAUAUAUAUUGAUAACAACCCCCAAGUAGUACAGAUGGACAUCAUCUCGUGGGUUGUUUUUUUAAAUACUUUCAGGCUUUAGCAAUGUAUAUUUGAUAUAUUCUUUCAAAAGAACAUAAGAACAUUUCUUUAAGGAAAUUAAGGUUUCGAGGAAGAUUCGUAGGAGGUGGAGUGGAUGGGGAUGUGCUAACUCAUGUCAAACUUGUCACAAGGAUUUUUCCUUAGUUUGUCUUUUACUUUGUCUCCUUCCUUGAAGCUUCCUAUCUUCUCAUUUUAAAAUGUUUUGGUCCCAUAAUAUUGGUUGGAAUUUAAUUGACGUAAAGAAAUUUAACAUUAUCAGUGUAAUUGAUCUUUUAUAACAGGUUAUGAUUCCGAAGGAACUAUGAAAAAUUGUCAGUCAAGGAGCUCAUGAUGACUAUCAGAACGAACGUGUCUAAGGAUGAGCUAUAAUACCCCUUAAUUAGCUUUGACUGAUUGGUUUCAAAACUAGGUGUUACAUACAGCUCUCUAAAAGAGGUUAAGGUAUCUGGAUUACGUUCUUGAUCAUAUAUUCAUUGCAUUUAAGUAGAGUUAUUUGAAAUAUUAUUUGUAUCGUCAGUGUAAAGAAUUUCUGGAUUUUUUCUCGCUAAAAUAGGCAGAGGAUGUUUUCUAAGCCCAAGUUGAGGAGGGAGACAAGUUUUAUAAAAUAGUUAAGUACUAGUAGUAAUAUAUAGUUUUCCUUGUCAAUUGUCAUACAAUUGUGAAUGACUUCCAUCUCUAUAUCAAACUCUAAUAGGGGUCCCUUUUUCAGUGACUUCAUUGAUUACCUCAUAGACUUUAUAUCAAAACCAAUAUGGAGCAUCUCAAAUUGACCAAAAAUCUAGUUCAGAAGUAAUCAAUGUUUAAAUUUCAAAAAUAAUAAAACUAACAUAAUCCAAAAGUAAUUAAACCCCCCUGAUGAUGUUGUACUUAGCCAUCACAACUUUGCCUUCCUUGUACUUGUGAACAUCAUGAAAACUUUUCUUGUAUUUCCACCCCAAAUUCUGGCCACAUUCAGCACAUAAAAUGUCAGACACAACAUAUGGACCAGUUAUCAAUAUCCUCAACACUGAAGGCUCUUCCACAACAUUGCUAGCAUGAGAAAAAAGGAAAGCUCGACCACGUCCAUAUUUAUGUGUCCCCUACAUAUAUAAUAAACUCAAAUUAUUAUUCUCUCUCUCUAUAUAUAUAUUUGAACUGAUGAAACCAACAACUAUUACAAAAACAAAAUAAUGUGUACUUAACUAUAUAAUACUUGUCAAUGAUGUCAUUAUGAUCUGCUACAAAAUUCCGGCAUUUGAAGCAGCAAUACCCUCGUAAUCCACGUGAUUUUUCCAUCUGAUAUGAAUUAGUAUAUUCAAUUUUAGGGAAAAAUAAUGAACUUGUAUGUCUAAGCAAUUGUUUGUGUAGUAUUUGAAAGCAGAUCUGGAGCAACCACACUGGUGUCUCGUGUCACCAGUGUUGGGAGUCCUCACAAAACGUCACAACCAAAAUAUAACAGUUUGGUUAAUAUAUAUAUAUAUAUAUAAUUGCAUUAAAGACUUGGAAGAAUGAACGUCAAAAGAUUUGAAUACCAAAGAGGAUAUGAUCGAAUCUUUAUUGUAACUAAUCUUAUCAACUACUGUAAAAUAAAAUCUUACCUAAAAUAUUUAAAUUAGCAAUUUUUUCGCAUGUUUAUUUUUUGAGAAGCUUCCCCUGAAGUUUCAGUUUGUAAUACAUACCUCUUAUAUGGUUUCGAAUAUUACACAAAUCUCUCUCCUUUGAUAUUUAAUGAAAUAAAACUAUUUUGUAACUUAAAUAUGGACAAGGUUAAUUUGUUCUUUAUAUGUUGGUAUUAUGUCUUAUUUUACUUUGUUUAACUGAAUUAACUUAUGUUAUCCUUAUACUUUUAUAUGUAUUGAAAAAUAUAAACUUCUUUUUUCUUCAGAUUACGAAUAUCUUAUAUACUUAGCACUUCCAUUUUUACUUCAAGCAAUAUUUGGCAGUGUUUGACGGAUGUUUUGCGGAUUUGAAACAAAAGCAAGAGGUUAUGUAUCAAAUCAUUAAAAUAGUUUGGGUGCAAAUAUAUAUAUAUAUUGUUAUGAAAUAUAAAGAAAGAACAACAAAAAUAGAGAGAAGAGGGAAACUUCUUUAUUUCUCGUGAUGGGUGAGAGAUCACAGAAUACAAUGAAUAAAAUCCCUUUAUUUAUAGGGGAAAAUCCUGAUACAUAUCAACUAGAUCUUAUUAGAUCUUGAUAGACAUUCACUAUAAUAUAAGUACAUUUAUAACACUCCCUUGAAUGUCUAGAUAGAUAAUGUGCCUCGUUAAAACCUUAGUAGAAAAAAAACUCAGUAGAAAAAAAAUCUAGUGAAGGAAAAAGGGUACACAUCUCUAACAAUACGCAUAUCGGCUGCCUCAUUAAAAACCUUACAAGGAAAGCCAGUGGGACAAAACCUCGUAAGAGAAAAAGAGUAUAACGCGUAUUAACUCCCCUAAUGAGAACAUCUUUGAACCUUUGCAUCCUGAACUUGUGCACCAUCUUCUUGAAAGUUGCAAUUGGAGGAGACUUGAUGAAAAAAUCAGCCACAUUGUCAUUUGAGCGAAUAUGUUGCACGUUGAUAUCACCAUUCUUUUGUAAAUCAUGUAUGUAGAAAAGUUUUGAUGAAGUGUGCUUCAUUCUAUCUCCUUUUACGAAUCCUCCAUUAAGAUGUGAUAUGCAUGAUGCAUUAUCUCCGUAUAAAAUUGUGGGUAGAUUGUCAUAUUUCACAUCACAUUUUUCUCAAAUGAGAUGUAUCAUGGACCUCAAGCAUACACAUUCUCGGCUUGCUUCAUGAAUAGCUAUUAUCUCAGCAUGAUUUAAUGAAGUGGCUACGAUAGACUGCUUUGUAUAUCUUCAAGAUAUUGCAGUACUACCACAUAUGAACAUAUAGCCUAUUUGAGACCGAGCUUUAUGUAGGUCAGAUAAGUACCCAAAAUCAGCAUGACCAAUAAGAUCGGGACUGCAAAUUUACUAACAAAUCAACUAAAAAAAAAGGCUAUAUCAGGCCUUAUAGUAUUUGCAAGAUAUAUUAGUGCAUCAAUUGCACUAAGAUAUGGUACUUCAUAACAAAGGAGUUCCUCAUUCUUUUCUUGAGAUCGGAAUGGAUCCUUAUUCAAUUUUUGCAUGUUUCUCAUUUAAGCAAAUACUCUAUUGCUUUUGAAAACUGUCCAAGAGUUUCAAUGAUACUCAAAUCAUCAAAUUAUAUCUUAUAAGGAUAAUAAAAAGUUUUCCAGAAACUUUAUAUGCUUCAGGCAUUUUGAAUCCUUUAGGGAUUUUCAUAUGAUUUUUUUUCAAGUAACAAUAUUCAACAUACAUGUCAAGUGUGACAUCUUCAAGUGUCUGGACUGCAAAUCAAAUAAGUUUUACGCUUACCAAAAUGCAUUCUUUCAGGUCACUUGAUAAAUGUUUCUACGUCAGCAUGCUUAAGUAAACGUAGAAUUCGGAUCCUCGUAAUCUUUUACAAUAUUGUGCCAAUAUUAUAUCAAAGAUAUCAUUGAUGAUAUAUUAUUUCGUAUCGGUUCAUAGUAUGACAUAACAUUUUGAGAUCUCAUCACUUUAUUAUUUUCAGGUACCUGAACCUCUCAUAAGGUUUCAUGAAGUAUUAUGCGUGGAUUCUUCAAGAGCACAUUGCCUUCUUAUUAUGAUUAUUUGCUCCUUAUCCUUUUCAAGAAUUAUUUUAUUUGGAACCGAUUGAUCUACCAUGCUUCACGCUUGCAUAGGCUUUGUCUUUUAUGAACACAAAAUAGGAACACUUGCAGCUUAAAUAUGAGAUGCGUUCGGCAUUUGACUAGAAUUAUCUUUUGAAUGACGAUCUGAUGAUAAUUCCUAACAUAUUUCUUAGCUGCUUAUAAUCUCCCCCUUAUGUUAGGAAAACUAACAUACAUCCUCCUUCUUCUUUGAGGAAUCCAUCUUUGUGUAUCAUGGUAUAUUCAUUAAUCGUAUACCGCACAUUAAUAUUAGAUGGACAACGUGUGAUUCCUGACUUAAAACCAACUUUGAGGGGAAAUUAAUCAUAAUUUAUUGGUUUGAUGCAUACAAGUACUUUUCUAUAUAAUAUUUCAAACCAACACAUUAAGCUUUUGUUCUCAAUGGUUUAACUAUUUAUUGAAGGCAUUCGAUGUUAAACUAUGAUCAUCAAGAUGAAUUGUCUUGAUUGCACAAUUUGAAAGUUUUGCUCUUAAACUCAAUUUUAUUGAGCAAACAACUUUAUGAAUGUCAAACUGUAGGUUGACAAUAAACGCACAUGUGAUCAUUUUAUAUUGAUGCAUCUUAAUAGAUCACAUGACUGGUGAACAAACCCAUAUUCACCUUUUAUACUUUUCAGAUUUUAAGGGAUCCAAUCUCAAUAUUAGUUGGUCCAACCAACUUAUUAUGAGAACAAACAAAAUUAAAAGUAAUGAAGAGUUUUUUAAUUAUGCACAUCUUUGGGAUAUCACAAUCGUUCAUAUCAAUUUAUGAAUUCUUAUACUAGUAAACUCCAAGUUUACCAUGACAUAUACCUUUUUUCUUUAGUAAAUUUUAGAUUUACUAUUAUAUGAAAAAAUUUCAGAUUUACUACUUCAGAAGUAGAUUUCACAACAACUUUUCUCUUCGGAGGUGAGUUGUGAUACCAUCACAAUCAAGUGCACGUUUGCAUUAAUAAGCUUCUCAUUCCCCAGGAAUGGAAUAUAAUCAUGCCUUAAGCGUAUCAAAUUAUGAUAGCUACUAUAAAAGCAAAUUAAGGCAUACAUAUAAUUUAUUGCUACCACAUUCAAUUCAAGGAAUGGAACAUAUUUGAUGGGACAUGUUUCACCAAAUACUUAUUAUUUUGCCUUAGCCAUUAUAAUAUCAUCAAUAUGGUGCAUUGAGGUUCAAACUCAAUGUCUUAUCCAUAUAAAGACGUCUUAGGCAUAAAUUCAUGGGAAUUGAACCCAACAUAUUAUCAUCUUUUUUGAUAAUAUUGUUUUUAUAAAUAAAUUUAAAAUAUAAAUGGUUCCAAACCAAUUAUUCUUUUUUCCUCAAAUCCAAUAAUAACUAUAUCAUUUAGUAGCAAAAGACAAAUAACAUAAGAAAUUACUAACCUUGAUAUUACCUUUAGAUUAAUAAUCUCACCUUGUUUGGUAGAGUCUCGUGCUUGAAAUUACUUUUAGAUAAAUUACCUUUAGAUUAAUAACUUCAGCUUGUUUGGUAGAAUCUCGUGCUAAUAACAUGUUAUGAAGUAUAAAGAAGGAACAAGAAGAAAUAGAAAGAGAAAAGGGAGACUUCUUUAUUGGAUGAGAGAUCAUAAGAUUGAGAAUACAAUGAACAAAACCUCUUUAUUUAUAAGAGAAAAUACUCCUAAUUUCUGACUAAAAGUUAGAUACUUCAAAUCCUGAUAGAUAUCAAUUAGAUCUUAUUAGAUCUUGAUAGACACUCACUAUAAUGUAAAUACAUUUAUAACAUAUAUAUAUAUAUAUAUAUAAGAGAUCAAUAGUCAAUCCUAUUUAUCUUUUUUUUUUAUGGUUUUUUUAGAUAUUUUUUGAGUUUUCUCCUUAUUUGAAAUAUUUGUAUGUUCAAAGAAAAAUCAAAAGUCACCACAUGCAUUUAAACUCAAUUUACUACUCCAUCCGUCCCAAAUUGAGAUGACACAUUGAUUAAGAAAAAUAAUUAAUAACAUAACUAGUUUACCAUAGUACCCCUAUUAAAUGAUGUUUACAUUUUAAUUUGAAGACAAAGUAAUUAAUGCAAAGGGUAAACACAUGAAAAAAAUUUGUCUCUUCUUGAUUAAUGAAAAAAGACAAGUAAAAUGAGAAAUCAAAUUAGAAAAUUUUGGACGGAGGGAGUAUGUAAUAAAAGAAAAAAAAUGUUUGAGGUAACUCAUCUAUUUAAUUUUUACUAAUAAUAUUUGUAACUCUCAAGCUAUUCAUGAUUUUAUAUUUAUAACCCCUAAAUAUUUAAUACAAAAGUCAAUGAUACUUUAUGGUAUUCCUUUAUUUUUAUGUAUAUAAAUUCAUAUUUUUUGUUUCAUGAGAUGCUAUCCAAGUUAUCCUUCAUUUUCACUAUUUUAUUCAUGCUUUUGUUUUUCUUGAAAAGAAGAAGAAGACUAGGCUUGUGAAAGUAGAUAUCGAGACAUUUAUGUAUUCAUUCCGUUUUUCUUUUUAUAGAAGUUCAUAUGUUUUAUUUCAUGCAAUUUUACCCUUUAUUUUCACUAUAAUGUUUAUGUUUUUAUUUCACUUUUAAAAAAAGAAGAUGCUCUUAAAUGGUGAAAGUCUUGUAGAAGUGGAUAUGACAAGAGUUAGAAUAUUUGAUUUCAGCUUUCUUUUAUAUUUUUCAACUAAUGAUUAAAAAUAUAAUAAUAUAUGUAUUGUCUUAUUUCUAUAUCUAUAUAUGAUGCCUCUUAAGUUCAGUUUUUAAGUCUAUAAUUUCUUUUGGUUAAAUGAAUAACUUUGUAGUUGGAAAUUUGCUAAUAUUUAUUAAGUUUCUUAAUUUAUAAUUGAUUUUUUUUUAGGUUUGUGGAAGUACAUACCUAGACAUUAAUGUAUUCAUACAUACCUAGACAUUAAUGUAUUCAUUUCGUUUUUCUUUCUAUAAAAGUUCAUAUAUUUUAUUUCAUGCGAUUUUACCCAAGGUUAUCCUUCAUUUUCACUAUGAUAUUUAUGUUUUUAUUUCAAUUGAAAAAGAAGAAGAUGCUCUUAAAUGAUGAAAAACUUGUGGAAGUGGAUAUCGGCAAGAGCUUGGAUAAUUAUGCAUUGAUUUCGUCUUUUUUUUUUUAAAUUAAUGAUUAAAAAUAUAAUAAUACGUGUAUUUUCUUAUUUCUGUAUCUAUAUAUGAUGCCUCUUAAAUUCAAUUUUUAAGUCUAUAAUUCCUUUUGGUUCAAAUGAAUAAUUUGUAGUUGAAAAUUUACUAAUUAUUAAUUAAGUUUCUUAAUUUAUAAUUGACUUUUUUAGCUGACUAGCUUAUUUCCAUUAAUCAUAUGUAAAACAAUACAAAGCAACCAACAUCCAUUGAUAGCUAAAUAACUUUUAAUAAUUGAAAUAUAUUCGUUAUUUGGUCUUAGUUAUAAUUAUGUUUUAGGACUAUCAAUAAAUAUGCAUGACAUAAAAUUUGAGAAAUAUAAAGAAACAUGGAGGCGAGGGAGGAAAAUGAGGUAAUUAAUUCUAAAAAAUCUAUAUACACAAAAAAAAGAACCAUUUAUGUUUUAUUCAUUUCUUUUUUUUCUUUUUAAUUUUAAAACAUAGUGUAUUUAUCUAAUUUAUUUUUAAAAAAACUUAUACACUUAAAAAAAACCUUUAUGUUUUUUUUUAUUUAUUUUUUUAAUUUCUUUUUAACUUUGAGAAAUAGUGUAUUAUCUGAUUUAUUUUUAAUCAUUAUAAUUACAAGAAUGAAUAUUUUGCUCUUCACCUUCUAAAGUAGAUGAUUACAUAUUGUUAACAUAUUUACUCCAUGAAUUGUACGUCUAUUAUUUUAAGAAGCGAUUGAGUCGGUGUAAUUUUUUUUUUUCUUGUAAAGAUCUAUCUAUCUAUCUAUCUAUCUAUCUAUCUAUUAUUAUUAUUAUUAUUAUUAUUACUAUUACUAUUACUAUUACUAUUACUAUUACUAUUACUAUUACUAUUACUAUUACUAUUACUAUUACUAUUACUAUUAUUAUUAUUAUUAUUAUUAUUAUUAUUAUUAUAACCGAGUGAAGUGCGGAUAAAUUAACUAGUAUGACAAUAAUGCAAAUGUCACUCAACAAUUGUCACGUUCAGAGGAUAGGUACAUUUUUGUCAUCGAACUUCAUCGAAGGUCAUUCUUUUUUACAAUCAUGGUCCGGCGAUCUGACCUAAUUUACCUUGCCUCGACUAAGGUGCCAAAUAAUUUUAUCCAUCAAAACUUGGACAAAUGAUAAGAAAUCAGUGAUGUUUUUGCCUCCAUUGAAAAUCGAACCUGAAACCAGUGAAAAUUAAACCUGAAACCUCAUGAUUCUUAAUUUACUUCGUUAACUACUAGGUCACACCCUUCUGGGUGUUUCAUAAGGUCAUUCUCACUCAGGCUGAAGGUAAGCUCUUGGCUAUGGAUGUGUAUCCAUAUACAGUUAAAAAGGAAAAAUUACUAAGAUAUAUAUAGUAAAGUGAUUGCUUUAGGCUCUAAAAUUUUGAUGCCCCAAAAAAUUUAAUAAUAAAUUUUAUGAUUUUUAAUUUCACUCAAAACAAUAUUGAAGAUCGUAAAACAUAAAAGUUCAAAAAAUAUAUAAAGAAGAAUUAUCCACUUUUUAUAAAAAAAUAUUUUAGAACUUUGAAUUAAAUAACUCAAAUCUUCAUAUUAAUAAAAUAAAAUUUUUACAACAACAUCAAGUUAAUAUAUUGCAAACAAAUAAUGACUAACAUUUUAUUAUUUAGAAUUAAUCCUUACUUUUAUAAUAAUAAGCAUAUUAAUAAUAAUAGUAUUAAAAAAUUUAAUGCAUUUUAAUAAUACUAGAAUUUCUAUUAAAAUUUGACUUUAACUCACUUAGUUAAUAUCCUUGCAACUGAAUGAUCAAAAACAUUUUGCAUACUUGCAAAACAAUGGGCUAAAGAAGAACAAAUUACUAAAGGUUAAAAACCAGCAAAACUAAACGACUAUAUACACUCUUUAUACAAAGUACAGAUAAUCUUUACCCACACAAAUAAAGGGGUAUGAAGGAAGUUAAGUCUGAAAGAAAAAAAAAUCAAAAUCCAUCACAGAAUUCGAAUAUGUGACCAUAAAUUAAGAAAAGAAAAAGAAAAAAAAAAGAAAGUAAAAACCUUAAAUGUCAAUGAAGUUAUCAACUAUAUUCUCUUUCAAUUAAUUACCUGCCAACUUUUUCUUUGUGGUCCAUCUUUUUCUGCACGCGUCUAUUGCCUCCAGCUUCAUUCUUGCGAGUUCUUGAAAGCAUUGUUGAUAUUGUGAUUCAAUUGUAUCAAGCUCUAACUUUAACUCGUUGUCUUGAUCAUCUUUCUCUACUAACGAUAAAAAUGAACAAUUGCUGGACAAACUCAUGCGUUUAGAAUCUCUAUCUGUAUCCGUCAAGGUCACCUCCAGAUUCAGAUUCUUUCCAAAUUCAUUUGAUAAUAUGCAGUCUACAUAAUCGCCACCAUUUCCAUCGUCAUGAAACACGCCCAUGAACUCUAGCUCUGAUAAGUUUCCACUAGAACCUUUAGAGAUUAUAUCUGCACAUGUAAAGUAGUCCCCAAAUCCAAAUGAAUUCUUUGCAGAAGAAUCUUUUUCCAUUACUUCAGUAGCAGAUGAACCUUGACACUCUCCAUCUAUCACAUUUUCCAAAUGUGACGGGGAAGCAAAAGUAACGUGACAAGAAGUGCCAUUUGAAUUCGCAUACAAUUUAUCUUCAUCAGCUCGAUGAGUACUACCAAUUUGGUUAUUCAUAUUGAGAACUGGAAUAUCAUCUUGCUGAGCAUUAGAUGUGGUAGUGAUGGGCGACAAGGUGAGGUAGUUCUCUAUAGAUUCUUCUCUUUGGCUUCUCCCUCCACUAGAAAAAUAAUCAGAAGGCUUCCAACUAGGCAAAAUUUUCAUUAUUAGAUAGUCAAUGAAGUCAGCAAUAAAAUCUACAUCAUGAUCAGCUAGUUCCAAAUGUUCAACCAUCUCCGCUGCAACUAAGAGUGCAGUGUCAGUAUAAAGAUAAAAGUUGAAGUGUAUAUUCCUUAUUCUGCCUGCAAAAUUCGAAGGCUUUAGAUAAACAAAGAGCCAAUUUUAUUCCGAAAUGUCAAAAGAAGAAAAAUAAGUAAUGAAUUAGAACGCAUCUAUGUACCUGAAGGGCUUUUAAUUCGCAAGGUCAGUGAAAUUGAGUUCUCAUCCUUCUUCUUACCUGUCAAUUUAAAUUCAUUAUUCUGAUGAAACCUCUGAAAUUCCAAUGUCGGAGCACAAGGACUUCCACAAUGGGAGUCUGUAUAAACUGAUUGAUUAUACUCGGAAUCUACAUCCAUUGAAUGAGGUGCAGAUUUCAAUGAACUUAAUGAUCUUGGACUUUGGUAAGGUGAAAGCAAAAGACUAUGCGUUGGCUCACUUAAAUUCUCAGUCUGAAGAAACGGAUCUUUGAGAAGGUCCUUGGCAGGCAACCUCAGAGAAACAGGAACCAGGCAUUUCUCGAUGAAUGCUUUGAUUUGGGGAUCAGUAACUUUGCCGAGGGAAGCAGGUUUAACACCCUGAGAAUAAAUAAAGUUCCUUAGAUUCACUAAAACAUGUAAUGCCUACACAACUUAAAGAAACAACUUUAUCAAACUUACUGAGCUAACUUUCUUAAAAAUUUGAGCAGGAUUUUUGCAUUCACUGUAAGGAUAUUCAAAGGUUACUAGUUCCAACAUACACAUGCCGAAGGAAUAUAUGUCAACCAGUUCAUUGUAUUCUUCUUCGUAAAGCUCCGGGGCCAUAAAUUCCGGGGUCCCUUCAGAGGAAUAGAUAAAGUUAGCAUUUUUGAAUAGGGAACAUUAUUUCAAAGUAUGUCGAUACAAGAAGUACCCGUACCAAUGACACUCUUAACAGUAGGCUGCUCCAUAAUGGUAGCCAAUCCAAGGUCCCCAAUCUUAAUUUCUCCAGUAUUUCCAUUGACAAAUAUGUUGUCACACUUCAAGUCCCUAUGAAUGAUGGGAGGGUUCUGACUGUGAAGAUAGUCUAACCCUUGAAGUAUUUGCCUUGCCCAAUUCUUUAUUGCCUUCAUAUCAACGCUUCUAUACUUCUUGCGGUAUCUGAUAAGUAUAAUUUACAUAUUUAUUGUAUGACAACACAAUUUGUAAGCAAAGAAAAUGAGGAACUAUGAGAAACUCACUGCCUUAAGUUCCCAGAUGUGAAGAGUUCAGUGAUCAUGUUAACUGUUCUCUUCUUGCCAUCAACCCAUGAAUCACAGAACUUCAUUAUAUUGUCAUGCUUCAAUUUUCUAAGAAGAUGCAUCUCCGCAUAUAACUUUCCCAAAUUGUUAGGUGAUUGCAAAACAUCCUCGACUUUCACUCGGCUCCAUGCAACUUCAAUACCAUCAAGUAAGUCAAAUGCCUUGUAGCUGAAACACAAUUUAAAAGUAACCAAAAAAAAAGACAAAAUGCUUUAUGCUCUGAAUACACAAUUAGUGCUAGAGAAAGGAACGAUAAAAAUCAGCAAUAAAGUUUAGGAACAUACACAGUCUUGAAUGCUCCCUUGCCCAACACCUCACUGUACUGUAGAGGAAAAAUAAGCAGGUGACAAAUAUAAAUGACUGUCAGUGAAAUAACCGGAAGUUUUCAGUGCUAAAUAGCAAAAGAUUACAAUUUUGUCUUGAUAUUCAGACUUCUUAAAUCUUCUGUUUGGAAGCAAAAAGGCUACUUAAGUUGCUAAAGAUAGAAUUCAGCCUCAACUAAUUGAUCAACAUCUUCAAAUCCAUCUAGUGGAGUGUUGCCAUGCUAGUGAAAUGGGAUUACACAAACUGAUCGAACCAUCUUCAAACUUCAAAAGUUCGCUACGCUAAUCAAGAAGCAAAACUAGAUGGUAGAGUUUGUGUGUUUCACGGAGAUGAAAUCUUGCAACAGAAAAUCAUAAUUAUGUUUAUGGCUUAACAAUUAUGCAGAAGGACCAAAAAUCCAAAUCAACUUAAGAAGAAACGAAUUGUGAGAAGUGAUUGUUCACCUCUGCGCUAAGACCACCUCAAAGCAUCUAUGUUGAGUAUAAUGUGCUAUGCUAAAACGGGAAAUGAGUUUUGCAACUAGACAUAAUUUAUGAAACAGAACAAGGAAAAGAAAUCGAAGCAUAAAUUAAUGUAAACAAAUGGGCUUUAAUCCGAUGACAAUAUAAAUCCUUAAUUUUGGACCGUUUGCAUUCCAGUAACACUCUAGAAAUGAAGCAAUAAGUAACACUAAAAAUAAUUAAUAGAGAGUAAAGUGAAUUACCCGAACAUAUCGACCCGUAGGGUCUUUCUCUACAUAAUCGGCUUGGUUAACGGGUCGAUCAUUAGCAGAUGAACCAAAAAAUCCACCGUGGUUACUCGAAGAAUGUCGCAAAGGGCUUUCAACUCUAACUCCAUUUCCAGAAUGAUAAGAAGAUCCCGAUCCAGCCCCGAAACUCAUUCCGGUAAUCAACCAAACAAUAAAAAGGAAGGAAGAAUAAGGAAAAGUAAAAACACGAAGAACAAAGACAACCCAAAGCAGGCAGAAAUUGGAGGAGGAAAUCAGGAUAUUCAAAUAAUGUUUCUGCUGCCUAGACAAAGAUAAGAUGAUGACCACAAGUUUGCAUGUCGAUGAUAAAUGCCUCGUAAAAUGAGAAUGCCGAUCGCGUGUGGAACAAUCUUCGACGUGAUCGGCAUUCAAAUUCGAGGCUAAACAGCUAAUAAUGCAUCGAGAUCCAAUAAAAUUCGUUACAACGACAGUACUGAAAUUGUUGUCAUCCUGAGUUUCACAUUACUCCAUUAUCACCUCCUUCUUCUUCUUGAUGAUAUGUAUACAUAUAUAUCUUCCUCAUGCAAAAUAUUCCAUGCAGCUAUGCAUGAAUAUAAUUAAUUAACCCUUCCAAAUGAAAGUUUAUUAAUAAUAAUAAGAUAAAGAAGGGCUAAAGAUGAUAGGAGGAAAAAAGAAAAAGUAUAAAACUAUAGAUAAGAAGAAGAUCGCUAAUAUAUGAGGAUAGACAUGGAGGUAAAAUCUUUUUAACUUUUUUUUUUUUUUUUUAAUUAGCAAAAGAGGAAAGAGAAAGAGAAAAUGUAUUGAGUUUAGGGAUAUGUGGAAUUUUGGUUUAAGAUGGGAGAAGAUAAUGCUCCAACGAACACUUGUUCCGUUAAUGUUUGCUGGAUCUAUUAGCAAUUUAUGUAAACGUGAUUUUGGCUGGGUUAAAUAUGACUGAUCACUAUAUAUAAGUAAUAUAGUUUGCAAUUUUUAACAAUAUUUUGAAUUUUGCAGGAAAUAUCUAAUAUUUUUAUUUUAAAUAUACGAAGAGUACCUAAAUUCUACUUUUAAAUGAGUCUGUAGCAAGAAUUUCACAUGUAUCUUUUAUUUGGGAAAAAGAUAAAAAUGACCACUGAAUUUUAUUUUUAUUUUCUAAUCAUUUGUUGGCAGCUUUAUACAAUCCUCAUACAAAUUAGAUAUAUAUUUUAUACAAAUAUGUUUCUAUACAAUAAAGAUACAAUUUCUAUAUAUAUCUUAUACAUAUAUCUAUUUUAUACAAAUUUUAUGCACAUCAUAUUAAAAAAUACAUAUUUUAUAUAACAAUGAGAUAAUUUUUAAGCAUAAAUUCAUUGCUUUAUUUUUUUUUACGAACUGUAUCAGUAUGGUAUAUGGUGUAUCAAUGUAAUAUAUGAACUGUAUCUGAAUUACCUGUGCCAAAGUGACUUAAAUGAUGAAAUGGUCAUAAUAUGAAAUUUGUUUGGGCAUUAUGAAAUAUGAAAUAACUGAUGUGUGUUAUGUAAAUAUAAUUUUUUUAAAGCUAAAUAUCCGUACUUGAAUUCUACUAUGUACAUGACAUUAAUGAUAAUCACCAUAAAUAUUUUGAUAUUUUAUUUUGUACAUAAUAUAUUUCGUACAAAAUAUGAUUACAUAAUAUUCGAAUGUGCUAUUAUAAAGAGCUAAUUUACAAAGAGUAUACCACUAUAAUAAACACCAUUACUUUUAAACUAGAAUGCCGUCAUAGAAAAAUAAAAUAUAAUAUAAGAAAUCAAUUUCGAAAAAAAUCAAACUACUACACUAAAUUUCAUUAUAACGAGAUCAUCUUUUCUGGAUAAUAUACUUAAUGAAAUGACAAAUAAUUAUGGGCAAAAUUCAGAAAUAACAUACCCAUCCCCUUAAUUAUGAGUUUCAUAGCAACAGUUUCAUAAUUACAUAAUAUAGUAAGUUGAAUUUUGUAUUUUUGCAAACUAUUGCUACAAUGUACAGUUAUAUAAUUACAUAAUAUAACAAGUUAAAUUUUGUAUUUUUGCAAGCUGUUGCUACAAAAAUACAAAUACAUAUGAUUUUUAGUGUUCUUAUAAUCGAUAUGUAUUUUAUAUUUUUGUAGGAUAUGUAUUUUAUAUUUUUGUAAACUGUUACUACAAAAAUACAAAUACAUACAAAUAUAUAUAUUACAAAAUGUAAUUUGAUAAAAAUAUUACUAUAUUUUAUAAUUUAAUAUUUAAAUAUGUUACUUUAUGUAUUUUUUCCGGAAAUUAUUGCUACCAAAGUUCGACUAGAGAUUUAUCACCGUUAUAUUAACAUAAUUUAAUUGAUAUCUGUGAUGUGACAGUGACAAAAGCGGUAAGUGUCUCACGAGUAGGCAGAGAAUGCCAAAUCUUUGAUCUCAUCACUAACUAACAAAUAGUUCUAUAAUUAUAAGCUGAAAACAACGAACAGGUGUCGUGGUGUAGUUGGUUAUCACGUCAGUCUAACACACUGAAGGUCUCCGGUUCGAGUCCGGGCGACGCCAUUUCAUUUUAGCUUUAAUCUAUAUUAGUAUUUCUUUUUCCUCCAUCACAAUCUUUUGAAUUGAAUUCCAUGUUAGUUUCCAUUUUAAGCAACUGUAACUGAUAUUUGAUUCUACUUUUAUCCGUUCUCCAUCACUAUCUUUUGUUUCCAUUUUAAGUCAACUGUAACUAAUAUUUGAUUCUACUUUUAUCCUUUCUCCGUUCAAAUUCCGGCAGGAAUAGAUAUGGAAAGGAAGUACAAUAUCAGAAGCCGAGGGAAAGCAGACUUAGCCGGUAUAUUACGGAAAUCGUGGUAUCAUUUAAGGUUGUCGGUACGACAUCCGGCGAGGGUUCCGACAUGGGACGCAAUCGUGCUUACGGCGGCGAGCCCUGAACAAGCUCAGCUCUAUGAAUGGCAGCUUAAGCGAGCUAAACGCAUGGGUCGGAUUGCUGAUUCCACCGUUACCCUUGCUGUUCCUGAUCCCGAUGGCCAGCGAAUCGGUUCUGGUGCUGCAACUCUUCAUGCCAUUUUGGAACUUGCUAAACAUUAUCAAGAAAUUUCUCUCGAUUCUCAGGUAACAUAUUUGAUGCAAUGCAUUUGGAUCCAGGAUUUUAAAGGCAUGGUGUAUGUAUAUGUAAAGUUCAAUUUUUUCCUUAUUCACAUGAUCAGUGUGAAUUUCAGAUAAUUUAUACACUUGUUUGUAUGCAGAAUGCGGGUAUUAGUCAAAGUUGUUGGAAAACACUUGUCCUAUUCAGGCCUUAUCACUAAGCCUAUAUAUUUGAGAUGCAUCGGGCGAAAUCCCUCCAUCUCCACAGUUUAUUACUAAUGAAUUUUGAAUUAGAGCGACAUUUUUGUUAUUUACCAGUGACACCUCCAAAUGCUUAAGUUAUAAUUGCCUCAUUGGACAUACUGCACCAGUUUUUGCACGCUUUAUCCCACCAAUCUUCAUCCAGAAACUCUGUGGAAUGUGGGUUGAGAAAGCUUAGUUUGAUAUAAACUCGAUGCAAAUCAUGAGUCUAUACAAGAUAAGCACAUGAAUUUUGAGAAUUAGGUAAAUUUAUUUUCACUUGAGAAGAUUUUCAGGUAUCUCCAUUAAAUUAAAAAAGGGUGAACACUGUUCUUGAUGUCGUUGUUUGAAUUCCCAAGCUAAUUCUUGAUUUUAAAUGGAUCACUAAGCCAAGUUCUAAUUUCAUAUAAGGCCGAUAAGGCAUAUGCCUUAGGUCCCCAAUUUUGGGGGGACCAAAUUUUACCAAGAAUAUUAUUUGGCACUUUUAGUUUUGAAUCUAAGUAGUAAAAAGGCAUAACUCAACAAAUUAAAACUAAUGCAAAAACAUUUACUUCAUAGUAAUAGUCUCUUAUGCUCAUCAAACUAUUCCAAGAAACAAAAGUCCCAACAUUUAAACAAUGUCUGGUAGUUUGAGUUUAACUAUCAAGUCUGUUGAAUAGGACCAUCCUUCAUAAUUUUAAGCUUACUUUAGUUUCCUUUUACUCUAGAUGUCUAACUCACACGCAUGUUUAACAAAAAUAUAAUAUAUGUGAAUUUAAUUUUUUGUAAAAAUUAAUUGAUAUGAGAUGCACGUGCGGCACACGGAAUGCACAUGCGACACACAGAAUGCACGUGUGGUGCACACAAAAGCUAGUUUUAUUGAAUGUACUUGAGACAUCUUAUUAAGAUUUGACUUUAGGUUCAUACUAUUAAAGACCAUCACACAAGUGUUUCUUCCUAUCUUUUUUGGAUAUGAUUUUGGCAUACAUCAACAGGGAGCAGGUGUAACUUUGUAAUUAAAUCACUUGCUUCUCUUUGAUACAGUGCGGAAGUUCUCAGAUGAAAGAACCUUCUUCAUCAUAUAUCUACUUGAUUGCCAAAAAACACGUCUUAUUGCUUCAUGCUGGAGGUGAUUCUAAAAGGGUACCAUGGGCAAAUCCUAUGGGGAAAGUGUUUCUCCCACUUCCUUAUUUGGCAGCUGAUGACCAAGACGGACCAGUUCCCCUGCUCUUUGAUCACAUCCUUGCUAUUGCAUCUUGUGCAAGACAAGCUUUUGAGAAUGAAGGUUCUUAGCCCUAUCAAAUAAUCAAUAUGCAUAACCAGUGAUACUUAUUUUCAAUAAAAUAAUUGAUUAAUUUUCUUAUAUUCUUUUUCUUUUAAAGAACAUAGUCUAUAUUCUUUAUGAGACACCGCUUUGAGCAGAGUUAAAGUAUUUUUGCAGGUGGAAUGCUUACAAUGACCGGAGAUGUUCUUCCUUGUUUUGACGCCUCAAUUAUGGUUCUGCCAAAGGAUGCGUCCUGUAUUGUGACCGUCCCUAUUACUCUGGACAUUGCUUCCAAUCAUGGUGUUAUAGUGGCAGCAAAAUCUGGGAUUUCAAAUGAUACCUAUUCCCUCAACUUGGUGGAGAAUCUGCUUCAGAAACCUUGCUUGGAUGAGCUUGUCAGACACCAAGCUAUUCUGGAUGAUGGUAGAACAUUGCUUGAUACUGGAAUAAUAGCAGUUAGAGGUCAGGCAUGGUUAAAUCUGGUAAAACUUGCGUGUUCGAGCCAAUCAAUGAUCUCAGAACUUCUGGAAAAGAAAAAAGAGGUUAGUGAUCAUUCAUUAGUGGCUUUACUCAACUCUUUUUUGUAUUUCCAUGUACCAGUAUCUAAUACUUGGAAAUGUCUACUCUUCUCUAAGAAGAAGUAUUCUACGCUUAUUGCAACAAGUUUAUCAGACUAGAUAAUUGAUUCUUCAUUUGAUGCACAGAGGUGCAUUUUUCACAAAAGCAUGCUUUUCGUUAGGCCAAAGAGUGAAUUAUUGAACUUUUCAUUCUUCUCUCUGUUAAAUGUUCUGUAGUUUUAGCAAAAGCUCUUCAAGCAACUGCGUGUAGAGGCAUUUGAAUCUUUUAAUAUCUUGUCCUAGGAUUAUUCGCAUAUAAGUUGGAUAUUUUCUUGGUGGCUAGUUUCUGAAGAUGCAGUAAUGGAUGUUUUAAUAUAGCAUGGACAUAUCCUCUAACUCGAUUUUUAUUUCAGCCUGUGAAGCAACAAAAAUUUAAUAUAGAAUGAAAUUAUAUCAUCCUGUACUUUUUUUUGUUUCCUUCAUCCUGAUGUAUUGUUAAUUCCCUAAUGACCUUUUUCUUCUUGAGCUCCAUUUUAACAUUUGUCAUAUAUCUUAAUUUAUGCAUUGUUUCCCUAAUCUGGAUGCUUUAGACAUACAACCAUUUCAGUAAACCUAUUGGGGUUGAUUUUGUUGUUUCUCAAUUAAUCUUAAGUUUGACAUACCUUGGCUCCAUACAUUGCAGAAAAUUCUUGUCUUUCUUGCAAUAGUGUCUGUACUUCUACUUUGUUUGUAUUCGCACAGUGAAAAGAAGUUACUCUUCCUGUUACCAAAAGUGAUCUUUUGGUUUUGUUAUUUCCAUUCAAGUGGGUUUUGAUCUAUGUAGGUGAGUUAAUUUUUUUACUUCUGUUAUUGGGCAGAUGAGUUUGUAUGAAGACCUUGUAGCUGCUUGGGUACCAGCAAAGCACGAAUGGUUGCGAUCCCGCCCUUUGGGUGAUGAACUUGUAAACAAAUUGGGAGAACAAGAGAUGUUCAGCUAUUGUGCUUGUAGGUUGAAUGUUGUUGACUGUGUGAUGAUGUUAGUAAUUUCCUAAGUCAUUGCAUAUUUUCAAAGUCUGCUUCCUUGUUUCUUGUGUGUAAAGAAGCAUUAACCUAAAUAGCCGUCCGCCCAUCUCCUUUAACUAAAUAGCCGACGGAUGUAAAGUAUAUUUUUUCAGUUCUUUCUUAAAAAUAUUAUGUUGAUCUUUUGCUUAACUACUAAGGUUAGUUCUAAUCCUUUUUUUUAAAGAAAAAAAAAAAAGAAUAGCACUCGUUUGAAAUGCAUUCCAGAAAUACAGGAGUCGUGGGUUGAUUAAGAAGUUGUCUUAAUGAAAUCACUUAAUCAUAUAGCGAAUUUAUCCAAAUGGGAAUGUCCAGGUCUUAAUUUCUUGAAACAUAUGGGAUUGCUUAUCCAUCUUGGAGCUCGAUUCAUAUGUACCUAUACUAAAAGCCAUGAAUGCAUAAGCAACUGUAUGUCAUUAUUUGCAUUUAUAGUUCAGAAGUCACUUACUAGUUAAGUAGAUCUGAAUACUAUAUAUUUUAGGACUCUAUUAUUUGAAAAUGCUAGAGGAGUUUCACUGAAUCAAACUUGAUUAAAGAACUAUGGAUCAAAACAGUAUUAUUCAUAUAAAAUAUCUACUGUUGCACUCUAUGGAAAAUUUAACUGUGCAUUUACCAUGCUUGUGAUACAUAUAAAUUGAUUUUUAGAAUUAAACUAAUCUUCUUCUCUUGAGUUUGAUGCAGAUGAUCUAUUAUUCUUACAUUUUGGAACAUCUAGUGAAGUUCUGGACCACAUGAGUGAAACUGGUGCUGGACUUGUUGGUCGGAGGCACCUGUCUUCUAUUCCCGCAACCAAUGUCUCUGAUAUUGCUGCCUCAGCUAUUAUCCUUUCCAGUAAAAUAGAGCCGGGAGUCUCUAUAGGAGAAGACUCUCUCAUUUAUGAUUCCUUCAUUUCAGGUGGUAUACAGAUUGGUUCCCAGUCUAUUGUUGUUGGUAUUCAUGUGCCAGCAGCCAGUGAUAUGACAGAAAAGGUUCCAUUCAGAUUUAUGCUUCCAGACCGCCACUGCUUUUGGGAGGUUCCUUUAGUGGAACGCACAGAGAGAGUUAUCGUGUACUGUGGCAUCCAUGAUAACCCAAAGAUUCUACUCUCAAAUGGUACCUUUUGUGGGAAACCCUGGAGGAAGGUUUUAGAUGAUCUAGGCAUUCAAGAUACUGAUCUGUGGACCUCAGAGAAAACUCGGGAAAAAUGCUUAUGGAAUGCCAAAAUAUUCCCUGUUCUUCCGUACUUUGAAAUGCUCACUUUGGCAUCAUGGUUAAUGGGCUUGGACAACCAAAGAAAUGAAACCCUGUGUUCAUCAUGGAAGAGGUCCCAGCGGAUCAGUUUGGAGGAGUUGCAUAGAUCCAUCAACUUUCCACAGAUCUGUUUAGGUUCGAGUAAUCAUCAGGCUGAUUUAGCUUCAGGGAUUGUCAAUGCUUGCCUUAACUUUGGCUUACUUGGCCGCAACUUAAGUCAGUUAUUGCAAGAGAUUCUUCAAAAGGAAUCAACUGGAAUUGAAGUUUGCAAAGGAUUUCUAUCCCGCUGCCCAAAGCUUCAAGCUCAAAAUUCAGCAAUCCUUCCUAAGAGCAGGGCAUAUCAAGUUCAUGCUGAUCUUCUACGAGCAUGCGGCAAUGAAGAGAUGGCACUUGAAGCUCAGCAAAAAGUAUGGGCUUCCGUUGCUGAUGAAACUGCUUCUGCUGUGAGAUACGGGUUCAAAGGUAAAAUGGCAUGUUGAAAGUUGUUACAAAGAAUGACCAACUAAAUCCAAGAACUGUUUUUUCUAUGACCUGUUAACUUAUUUUUCUUGAUCUAUCUUCCCAGCUGGUACUCUUUUGACAGGACAGUCUAGUGCUUCUUUGUUCUUCUUCCUCUCCCCUUCCCCCCAUUCUUUUUCUUUCCUUUAUUUCAAUUGUUUACACAUAUGCUGUAAAUACAAUUUUUUAAUGAAAUGCUAUUUCUUUAUCAGAAAACUUAGCAGGGUCUUCCAGUUGGUUUUCUAUCACAGCAAAUCCUGGUAAUACUAAUGGUUGUUGUGGUGAAUCUUUCCACCAUAAGACGGUGAAGAUUGAACUACCAGUUCGAGUGGAUUUUGUUGGGGGUUGGAGUGAUACACCUCCUUGGAGUUUAGAGCGUGCUGGUUGUGUUCUGAACAUGGCAAUAACAUUAGAAAAUUCUCUUCCUGUUGGCACAGUCAUAGAGACAGAAAAAGGGACUGGGAUAUUUGUUAGUGAUGAUGUUGGAAACCAGUUAUCAAUUGAAGAUCUAUCAUCUAUUUCCCUUCCAUUUGAAACCAGUGAUCCAUUUCGGCUUGUAAAAUCUGCAUUGCUUGUAACCAAUGUUAUCCAUGCAAAGAUCCUUCAAUCAGUGGCCUUGCGAAUUAGGACUUGGGCCAAUGUUCCUAGGGGUAGUGGCUUGGGAACUUCCAGCAUCUUAGCAGCAGCCGUUGUUAAAGGGCUUUUACGUAUUACUGAUGGAGACGAAAGUAACGAAAAUGUCGCAAGACUUGUUUUAGUCCUAGAACAGCUCAUGGGCACAGGAGGUGGUUGGCAAGAUCAAAUUGGAGGUCUAUAUGCUGGCAUUAAAUUUACUACAAGUUUUCCUGGAAUACCGCUGCGGCUUCAAGUCAUUCCCCUCUUGGCUUCUUCGCAGUUAAUAAAGGAGUUGCAGCAACGGCUCCUUGUAGUUUUCACUGGUCAAGUAAGUUGUGAACUGUAAUUAAAUUCAUUAGAAUUGUCAGUUUUUGUGUUUCAAGUUUGCAUUCAUCAUGGUGUUCAUGAUUUUCUUGGUAAUUAAUUCAUGUCCAAGUUUACACCCCUUACAAACCAACUACUACUACUUUUGUUCUAGAGUUUAUCAAUUUCAUCUGUUGACAAAUUGUCAAUGACUGUAUAUGCAGGUCCGACUUGCACACCAAGUGCUGCAUAAGGUGGUUACUCGUUACCUUCAAAGAGACAACCUGCUUGUUUCGAGUAUCAAGCGCCUCGCUGAACUUGCAAAGAUUGCUAGAGAAGCUUUAAUGAAUUGCGACAUUGAUGCCCUUGGGGACAUAAUGCUGGAGGCAUGGAGAUUGCAUCAGGAGCUUGAUCCUUUCUGCAGCAAUGAGUUUGUUGAUAAGCUUUUCGCAUUUUGCGAUCGCUAUUGCUGUGGUUACAAGCUUGUAGGUGCAGGUGGUGGGGGUUUCGCCUUGUUAUUGGCAAAAAGUGCCGAGUCAGCUGAGGAACUGAGUAGUUCACUCACGAAUAGUUCUGAUUUUGAUGUGAAAAUCUAUGGUUGGAAAAUCUUCUUGGAGAACUAGCCGAAGUUAAUUCUAUGAGUUAAUUACUACUAGCUAAGUUGCUCGGACUCUUCAAAAAUGUUCCGCACCUGUGUCGGAUCCUGCAAAAAUGAACUACUUAUGAAGGAUCCGACACGCACCCGAUGACAUUUGGAAGACUCUGAGCAACAUAGAUUACUAGUACACUACUCAUUCUUUGAUCUGUAUAUUUGAGGAUGUAAACACGUAUCCUUGCACCAGCCAAAUUAUGUAUUGUGAAUUCUUGGACUGUCAUACUGCUAUUGAAAUGCGAGUUAUAAAACAGUGAACUUACUUUCUUAAUGACAUAUACAUUUUAGUUCUAAUUAAAGAAGUCAAAAGAGUGAUGUAAGAGUAAGGAAUCAAAUUCUUAGAAGGAAAGCAAAAGCUUACUGAUGCUUUGUUUUUUGAUGGGAUCCAUUCCUUCCUUUCCUAGUUUGGCAGUAUUCAUUUAGUUGCAUCUGAAACUAUUCUUGCCGUGUCAAAGGGGCAAGGAAUUGCACCAUCAUGUUUGGAUUGUUGUUACCUUUGUAUUGUUGGUUUAAAUACCAUGCUUGUUUUAAUUGUUAUUUACAUUUUAAAGAUAAACAUUCAAUAAUGAAGAACUAUGGUUAAUAUUGCUACGACACAUUUCAACUUCACAAGGGUCCUAUUACCUCCUGAACUUAAUUGUAGCGUAAUUUUUGUCACCUUUUUGUACUUACGUGACACCUUUAUUGCAUAAAAUGAGGCCCACAUCAAACGUCAGCUGAAAAGGUUGAUCAAAGUGCUACAUCAAUUAAAAAAAAUGAUAAAAAUAUGCUAAAAUUGAAUUCAGCGGUAAUAAGACCUCGUGAAGUUGAAAUGUGUCAUAGCAAAUUUGGUUAUAGUAGAGGUACUAGAUGCUUUACUCUAAAUUUUAGUAGUAUAUCAUAUAGCUAAAUUCAUCAUUAUGUGAUAUGUCUCAGCUUAUGUAAGACCGAUUUGUUGGGAUGUGUCGUUCUUUUUUUUCCUUUUUCAUUUUGUCUUUAUUUAUUAUUUAUCCUUUUUUUUUUUACAAUGGAUCUACUCCAUACUCUACUCCCUUAUAGGUUUAUUCUUUAAAUUAUUGAUGUGUGACAUUACGUAAUGAUAGAAAACCAUAAAAUCUCUCCUGAGAUCAUAUUCAUUAAAAUAAUAUAAUACCACAUAAUAUAUUACAAUAUGAUAUAUUAUGAAAUAAUAUACUCUCAUCUUUGCGGACAAGAGAGAGGUGACUCAUAUAGUAAGCAGUCACCACCUCCAACCAUGGGCAACUCAAGCUCAUUAGUCGCCUAAAGCCAAAAAUGAAUUGGAGGACUUAAGAUUUUGAAAAUCAAUUAAUGUUUUUUUAUAUUUAAAAUUUAUUCUUUAAGAGGCAAAGUUAAUGUAUUUCUAACAAAAGUAUUUUGAGAUGUAAAAUUUUUUUUAUAUGAUUCUUUUUAUAUUUUUUUCUAUAAAUAGUACUCCUUCCAUAUUAAUUUGUAUGUUUAUUUCUUAUUUGACACGGUAUUUGGUAAAGAAAUCUUCGAAUCUUGUAUUUAUUAAAAAUAUAUAGAAUAUAUCAAAAUUUUCUUUAAUAUUAUGAUUUUAAACAUAUCUUGUGAAAAAAUAAAAAUAAAAAAUUAACAAAAACAUUUUUGUUUUUUGAAAUAGACUUAAAAAGAAGGAUAGUACAAAAUAUUUUUUUAAAAAAGAACUAUAUAAUAAAUUUAUUACUACUAAAAAAAAUAAGUCCCCUCAAAUUGGCAGUCUUAAGAGGGUCACUUUAUUUUCUAAGGCAUGGCUGGCCUCCUACUCAAUUGUGAGACAGUGAGUGUGAAUUUGAGUCAUCAAGAAAACAAAAAGUGUGGAAGCUCCUCCGAGUCAUCAGACCCAGUAUUUACAUGGUAUGUUAUUGUAAUGGUAUAAAUAUAAAUCGAAUGUAUUUUAAUAAUUUAAUAUCUACGCAAAUGGAUACAGGUUAUAAAGGACAAAUAAUUUGAUAGGUCACUAAAAUUUCCCUUUCAUCCAUGGACUGCGCUCGGUGAUUUCAAUUCUGACCCCAGCAUUCAUAAUCGUCAUUUGUUCUACAUAUAUUGUACGGUAAUAAUUUUUAUCGGUAAUGUUUGUCGAGUAGAUCCUUCGGUGAGCCAAUCACCUUCCACCACGUCAUUUUUUGUCUCCAUUAUGAAAUGCACUACAUUUCUCUUCUAAUCAAUUAAUUUUUUGCAGUGGGGUUAGCUUGGAAUUGCUAAAGAUUGCAGCUUUAUUUCCAAGUACAUUUGCAUUCUGCAGAGGAGAGAAGAUGGGGUUGUUGACAAAUAGAGUGGAGAGGAGUGAGAUCAAACCAGGAGACCAUAUUUAUACCUACAGAGCUGUCUUUGCUUACUCCCACCAUGGUAAUUUCACAAUGUCUCCUUCCCUUUAGCACACAUAAACAAGAAGUUUAUGAGAAUUUUGUCAUCUCUUUUGUCCCAAAAGUGAUGAUCUUUGAUGCAUAUUAGAAAACUGAAAUGUGGGUUCUUGUAAAUUGUUAGUGCUACUACUAUUUAUUUACUAUUUGGUUGCAUUCUUCCUUUUUCUUGCAUUGUGCAAAUCGCUGCUGUGUAAAGUUUGAAUCUUUUGGUCUGCUGAUUUUAUUAAGUUUUUUCCAAUUAUUUUGUUCCUUAUAGUGUAAUCCUUGAUUUGCUGAGGGUCUACCCGAAACAGUCUCUCUACCUCCAACGUGGGGGUAAGGUUAGAUUUGCGUACACUCUACCAUCCCAGAUCCCACUUUGUGGGAUUACACUGGGUAAUGUUGUUGUUGUAGUGUAAUCCUUCAUUUAGUUGUUUCAUUCAUUUUGUCUCUUAAAUCUUUGAUUUGGCUCUGUACACAAGAUUUGUCUUUUCACUAUGAAAUCAAAUUUCUCCAAUGUGUGUGUGAUUAUUUAAUCUAGUACUUACUAGUUUUUGUUUACUUCCACUUGUUAAUUUGAGUCCUCUCUCUUCUCACUCUCAAACUGUAUAUAAAUUUCCUGCAUUAAGUUUUUUUCUUGCCUUUUUUGGCUUAUGGUUUCAAUAGUGUGCAUUUACUUUAUUUUGGACUUAAACUAUGCUUAAAAGAAGGAAAAGUCGAAGAGUAAUGGAAGUAACACAUAUAAACUUUUGAGAGGCCAUUUGAUCUAAUAAUUUCAAAUACUCUAAACUUAUCUGUUUCAAUCGGAUAUAGUGGGAUCACAUUGAUCAAAUUAGACUAAAAUAGGCAUUGAGGUGUCGCUUACACCAUCAGCCAGUUCUCUUACCACCAAAUUUCAUCCUAUCCAAAUCACGUGAUGUUGCAUUCAGAGUUUGCUUUUAUUAGAUAGGUGUGCUUGUCUAUUUUAUAAUACAAAUCCAUAAAUAAAUGUGGGGACGUGGAUAGUAUGUGGGAUAGGGCUGCUGGAUGCAUCAAGGAGUCUGCUGGAGAGGUGUUGGGUGUCUCGAGGGGCUGGUCUGGCCGGUAUCGGGGGGAUUGGUGGUGGAAUGAAAAUGUUAAGAAGAAGGUGGAGUCGAAGAAGGCGGCUUAUGCUAAGUGGAUUGAGAGUAAGGUUGAAGAGGAGAAGCGGGUGAGCAGGGAGGAGUACAAGUUAGCUAAGAAGGAGGCUAAGUUAGCAGUUACGGCUGCUAAGACAACAACUUUUGAGAGUCUGUAUAAGGGGUUAGAGGAGAAAGACGGGGAAAAAAGGUUGUUUAGGCUUGCUAAGUUUAGGGAGCGGAAGGGUCAGGAUCUAGACCAAACGAAGUGUAUUAAGGGGGAGAAUGACAGAGUAUUGGUGGAAGAUGCCCUCAUUAAGAAAAGAUGGCAGUCGUAUUUUCGUGGGCUCUUAAAUGAUGAGGGGGACAGAGGUGUUGUGUUAGGGGAGUUGAAGCACUCCGGGGAGUGUUGCGAUUUCGGCUAUUGUCGGCGCUUUAAGGUAGAGGAGGUCAGUAAGGCUAUUCGCAAGAUGCGAAGGGGCAAGGCGACGGGGCCCGACGAGAUCCCGGUGGAUUUUUGGAAGUUCUCUGGCAGGGCAUGGUUGAGGUGGUUGACCAACUUGUUUAACAACAUUUUCAAGUCCGCAAAGAUGCCCAAGGCGUGGAGAUGGAGCACGACGAUCCCUUUAUAUAAGAACAACGGUGACAUUCAGAGUUGCAACAACUACCGGGGUAUAAAGUUGUUAAGUCACACGAUGAAGAUUUGGGAGAGGGUGGUGGAGCGGAGGUUGAGGAAGAUUGUGUCUAUUUCAGAGAAUCAUUUUGAUUUUAUGCCUAGUCGCUCUACGACUGAGGCAAUUCACCUGGUGCGGAGACUGGUUGAGCAGUAUAGAGAGAGGAAGAGGGAUCUUCACAUGGUGUUUAUUGACUUAGAAAAGGCGUAUGACAAGGUCCCUAGGGAGGUUCUUUGGAGAUGCUUGGAGACAAGGGGGUCCCGGUGGUGUACAUCAGAGCGAUUAAGGACAUGUAUGAGGGGGCGAAGACGCGGGGUAAGAACAGUGGAAGGAGAUUCCGAGCAUUUUUCGGUCUUGACAGGAUUGCACCAGGGAUCAACUCUUAGUUCGGUUUUAUUCGCCUUGGUGAUGGAUGUGUUGACGCGGAGUAUACAAGGCAAGGUGCCUUGGUGUAUGCUUUUUGCGGAUGAUGUAGUUUUGAUUGAUGAGUCGCGUCAAGGUGUUAAUGAUAAGUUGGACGUUUGGAGACAAGCCCUGGAGUCUAAGGGUUCCGGUUGAGUAAGACCAAGACGGAGUACUUGGAGUACAAGUUUAGUGACUCGAGGUAAGAGGAGGAGGUGUUAGUGAAGUUGAAUUCCCAGGCGGUUUGCAAGAGGGAUAGUUUUAAGUACCUUGGGUCUACGAUUCAGGGGAACGGAGAGAUUGAUGAGGAUGUAUCUCAUCGUAUUGGGGCAGGUUGGAUGAAUGGAGGCUCGCUUCGUGAAUCUUAUGCGAUAAGAAGGUGCCCCAUAAGCUGAAAGGCAAAUUCUAUAAAGUUGCAAUCCGGACGACUAUGAUUUAUGGAGCGGAGUGUUGGCCGAUUAAGAAUUCUCAUAUCCAAAAGUUGAAGGUGGCGGAAAUGAGGAUGUUGUGUUGGAUGUGCGGAUUUACUAGGGCUGACAGGGUUAGGAAUGAGAUUAUUCGGGAAAAGGUGGGAGUGGUAUUGGUGGAGGAUAAAAUGCGGGAAGCGAGGUUGAGAUGGUUUGGUCAUGUGAUGAGGAGGGGCACGGAUCCCCUAGUUCGUUGGUGUGAAAGGUUGGCCUUGGAUGGUUUCAAGCGGGGUAGGGGUAGACCGAAGAGAUACUGGAGGGAAGUGAUUAAACGUGACUUGGAGCGAUUACAACUGACUGAGUACAUGACCCUAGAUAGGAAGGUAUGGAGGAAAAACAUUAGGGUAGAGGGCUAAGGUGGGUGGAUGAGUAGUAGUCAGUAGGUAGAAGGGCCUCGGUGUCCUUUGUUUGGCAAUGUACAAUUUUGUGUGGAUGACGUACCUAUGUUAUUUUUAUCAUGUUACAGGCUUUUGAUGUUUUAUAUAUUGUCCUUUGUCUUGAGCCGGAGGUCUAUCGGAAAUAGCCUCUCUACCGCUUUAGAGGUAGUGGUAUGGACUGCGUACACUCUACCCUCCCCAGACCCCACGAUGUGGAAAUUUACUGGGUUUGUUGUUGUUGUUGUAAAUCCAUAAAUGUAAUAGCAACAUUCUUUUUAGUACUGUUAGUGCUGAAUUGAUUGCUCUUAGACCUUUAUUUAUAUGUAAGGCUUAAGUUUAAUUUAUCUUAUAAUAAUUAAAAAAAUAAAAUAUUCUAAAUGUUCACAAGUCACCCUUGAGUCACUGCUGGUUCAUACUUCAUAUUGAUCCAGCUUAUUAUACUGUUUGGACUAGUGAUAAAUGGUGAGUUGCAUUUCUCUUCCCAAAAACUAGUUGAGAGACGGUCAUCAUAUUUCACAUUGUAGCUUCUAAGCAAUUUGGUGUUGUAGGUAUUUUCGUUGGUGGAAGCAAAGUGGUUCAUUUUACAUGGGUCGAUGGCUCUUCUGAUGCAGCUGAUGAAAUAUCAGGCCUUUCAUCAUCCUGUCCAUUCUUUCCCGACUGUGGAUUUAGGCUUCCUAACAGUGGUGUUGUUCUUUCUUGUCUGAAUUGCUUUCUCCGCAAUGGUUCACUCUACAACUUUGAAUAUGGAGUAAGCUCUUCCGUGUUCCUUUCCAAAGUGAGAGGGGGAACUUGCACUACUGCUGUGUCAGACCCUCCAGAGAUGGUUAUCCACCGAGCAAUGCAUCUUCUCCAGAAUGGAUUUGGCAACUAUGAUGUGUUCCAAAACAAUUGUGAGGAUUUUGCGUUGUAUUGCAAAACAGGUCUUUUGACACUUGAUAGAUUGGGAGUUGGAAGAAGUGGACAAGCUUCUUCUGUUGUUGGUGCUCCUUUAGCUGCGCUUCUUUCCUCCCCCCUGAAGUUGCUAAUUCCUAGUCCUGUUGGCGUCGCCACUGUAAUGUACUGUAUGAGCAGAUACGCUACUGACAUUGGUGUUCGAAGUGAUGUCAUAAAAGUUGCAGUCGAAGACUUAGCUGUAAACCUUGGCUGGGGAAGCAGCAAUGAAGGAGCUAUUGUGGAACAUGAUGAUUCUAAUAACAGAAUUCACAGGUAAUUUCAUUCUCAUUGUAUUGCGCAGGAGAUGCGGUUGAUGUUGUGCUGAUUUGUGAUAAAUUGUAGUAGACUUCUUAUCAUAAGCAUUCUGGUUUAGGAACUGCCGUUUGGCUGUUCAUGUGUGCCACCAUAUCUAAUGUACGUUGAAAAUAAGUUAUUGGUAUUAAUUUCUUAUCCUGCGUACAAAGCUGUCUUUACAUUUUCUGAACAAUUCAUUCUAAUCAUGUAGCCGAAAGUAUGAACUUCCUGUAGAUUAUUAGCUGAAUAACGCCCUCCUUCCCUACCAGACUUCCUCUUUUGUCGACCCCUUUUCCUUAAAUGGUUGGGAAACUCAUUUCCUUGAAUUUGGUAGGCAAGAACUCUGUCAGGUUCAUGGAAAUUCCGGGAUGAAACCUAGAGACAAGAAGUAGUUCUUGGACUGCCUGGCCUUUCCCAUAGUAGAAAGGAUGACCAUCUGAUAUCAAUGACAAAUUUCACCUUUGAUCUAUGAGCAAGAAUAUCCAUUUCUGCUUACAACAGAUUUUCCUUUCCAAAGAACUUUUAUAUAACAUCAUAUCUAGUUACACAUGAUUACCUACUUAUGAUUUGUUAUUUUUAUUAUUAUUUGAUUUUGACAUGAGUAAGGUCACUUUGUUUAGGUUGAGUUGAAUUAUAUGGAGUUCACAUAACUGAUAAUUCUAUAUGUUGAGACCUAGAGUUGACAGGGUAAAAGUGAAACCAGUAAAUUCAUGCCUCGUUAUCUGGAUGCCUUCUGGUGACGAGUCGGAGAUACGGUUAAAACUUAAAAGUAGAUAUAAUUGUCAAGUGGAAAAAAUAUGUAUCCGUAGCUUCAGAAUAUAAUUUGUAAAGUCUGAUAUCUAAAUAGGCCAUUGGCUUUGGUCCCACCACCACUGAGUGAGUUCCACUUGCGAAAGCAAGGAACGAUUUGUAGUAAUAUUUAGGUUUGGUGAUCUUGGAAUACACGUGGCAGUUUGGUGCAUGCUGCUGUCAGGCAAUUUAAUUGCCCAGAUCUACAUAUUCUUUGGAUCACAUUUCUGCUCAAUCGCAGGAAGAAUAAGAGGCUGAACUUGUGCCACCUAUAUUUAUGUUCUCAUCAAGAGAAUUAGGUUAUCUAAACUCAAAUAGUAAUGGUAAUAGUAAUGUCAUGACAGAUUAAUAUGGAGGAACAAACUUAAAUAGCUUAUUUGUUAUCAUUUGUAUUUCAACUAACUAGUUAAGCUUGCACAAAUGCAUUUAUGACGACAAAAAAGUCCAGAAUAUGUCAAAACAUGGUCCUGUAUAGGUCUCUGCAAGAGUGGAAAAAUGGAGAAAGAGAGAGAGAUGCUGCGAAAGAGGAAAAAGAAAGUUCAUCCUAUAGUUCCUCAAAUGUUCCUGCUAUAGUAAUGAAAGACCCAAUCGAGUCACCUGUUUUCUAUACAAUAUGCAGUUUAUAGUAACAGAUGUCUCAUAAAAGCGAGAGCCUGUCAAAACCUUACCAUGUUUGGUUCAUCAUAUAAUGGUAAUUAACUCAGACUUUUUGCAGAGUCUUCAUUGUUACUUCAUGCUCAUUACCAUCUUUUUCAUUUGGAUUUGUUUGAGUUUGUUUGGACUUCUUGCUGUUUUCAUCUCUAAAUUCUGCUUGGGUGGCCAGUUCUUUUACCUCUUCUACAAUCCCUUCUAUUCUUGAUGCUAUUUCUACAAACAGUGAUGUUAGAGUGGCCAUUUGAACAAUUUUCAUGAGCAAUAAAACAGUAGGCGUCACACUAGGCUCUUCUAUACCACUAGGUACCUCUGCAGUUGCAGGAUCUGGGGUUGGUAUAUGCUGGUGAAUUGGGAAGGUUUUGAGGGCUUUUUGAAGGCCUUCUACUGAAGAAUUCAUUUCAUCAACAAGUAUAUCUAGCUUUGUUGAAUUUUUCAUUGUUUUUAUCAUACUCGACAGCUCUUUUAGCACCUUGGAGGAGCUAGUACCUAAUCUCAUGCAGGCAUCGUUGAGAGGCUUCUUAAGGAACUCAGGAGUCUGUGGCACAAGCAAAAUAAGAAUGAUUAAAUUCAAAUGCUAUCUUAGCAGAAAAGAUAUCAGCAUGACUCAUUCCGAUAGCUAGGAAUUUUUUAAUAUAAGUUCUUUUUACCUCGUUAUUGGAGUUAAUGCCAGCAUGGAGAGUCUCAAUGCAAUAGGCACAGCUUCUCAUUGAAGCUCCAAUCUUGAGGUACUGUUUCCAUGGAUGUCGGAAACUGAAUUUUCCAUGUGCUGGCUCCCAUCUAGCAAAAUUGGCCUGAUAUAUAUAUUUGUAAGAGGUUUAGUUUAUCUUUUAUUAGCUAAACAGGAGAGAGAUCUGAACAUGCUAGAUCAAUCAGUAUCAGAGAAAGCUGAUUACAAACCAUGGUUUCUUCAGCAACCUUAGAAUUAAGUACACAUUUGUAGCCUUGCAAUCUUUUACUGGAAUCUUUCUCAUGUACAUUUUUACUGCCAACUACUCUGAAGUUCUCAGCUGCAUAUCCUGAAUAUUCAAGUCCAAAAACUAUUAAUCUCUUCCAUCAUUGACAUUGAGAGCAUAUAUUUGUGAUACCAUUAUUCAGUUAUCAAAUGUAUAUUACCUUCCAAGGAAUCAGCAAGUUUUUCCAGGUUGUUACUAAUAAGAUGGUGCAGCUCAGUACCGGCCCAUACAGGGCAGAGAACCAUGGUAAUGAAAACACAAAUGGAGGUCCCAAUAGCAAUAGUGGAGAUCCUUUCAUGAGCCAAUUCAACCAACUUAUCAACACGAUAGCCUGAGACCGACACUAAGCUGAAGGUAAGGAUGAAGAUCAUUGCACCAUAAUCAAAUCGUGCUUUUAUGGUAGGUAUAAAUCGAGAAAAAGUUGUUGCAGCAGCUGCAAGAAAAGACAUAAAACAUGUUAGGUCCAUAACUAGUAACAAAGUUUUUAUAAAUGUAUAUAUAUAGGAAAUUGUUGCAUACCCAAGAGAAAAACUGAAGCUUGGAGAAUAACAGGUUCAAAUUUAUCCCCAGCAUGACUUGCAACCCAGUGAACACCAAUUCCUAAAGAUCCAGCAAGACAUGUUCCAAUAGCUCUAUUUACACACUUGCUAAGUGUAGAACCUACCAUAUAGGAAUGUAAUUGUUUAAAAUUCAACACCAUAAUGAAUUAAAUAAAAGAAAGAAUCAUCAGAGGUUUGACACAUGAAUACUCACCUACUGUGUACUCAAAAACUACAACAACUGUCAUAACUGCCCACAUAGCAUUCCCUCCAACACCAUCAUAAAGAGGCCUCAUGUAAGAAGCAAUGAACAACUUUUUUUGGUUCAUUUACAGCCAAACUCCAUGCCUUGUCAAGAAAACCCCUGAUGUUCAAAACAAUCCCCAUAACUAAGCCUUGCAAUCUACUGAUAAACUUGCUUGUUUGCCUGGACUCUGGCGCUAAAAUUCGCGACGAGCCAUCAGGCAUGUUGACUCUCCAUUCCAAACUUGUAGGCACCUCAUUUUCCUUAACCAUAUUUGCUAAAAAUAAACACCUUGUUCCAAACUUCUUUCUUGUCUAUUGUACUUUAAGAUUGAGUUGGUUAAGGUUGUUUGAGGACUGUUGGAGUUUGAGAAUUCCAAUUAUCAUGUGUUUAUUGGAGGACUUGUAGUAGAGCUUUAUAAGUUAUCAUGAAUUGGUGGUUAAGUAUGUCAUAAUAAUGCACACAUCACAUAGAUAUAUAUAUACUCAUGCUCCAAGAUUUAAUUUGUACCUUUGUAGAGAUUGUACGGGAAACUUUAUAUUUUAGUUAGGUAAGCUCAGGCAUUUUUUAUUUUAAACAAAUAGUGGGCAUUGGAUUUGAAUAUUCAUAUUUAUUCAUAGUGCUUGUUCUAAGAGUGUGCUUGAUAUUCAUAUUUAUUCAUAGUGCUUGUUCUAAGAGUGUGCCUAAAAACUAACAUAUUACUAAAACUUUUUAAAGUGGAACCGAAUGUAAAACGUCAUUAAUUUGAUAUUUGUUUUGUUUAUCUAUCGACUAAUAUUAUCUUCAUAUCUUAAUUAUGUUAUCCUUUAAUUUGUAUAUAAUCAAUCCUGAUCUUUUUCCCAUCUGAUUACAUAUAUCAGAAUUUUAAGAAUAAUAAGUGGAAAAAUUAUGAAAAUUGCAGUAAUGAAUUCUCCCUCAGCUCGCAUUCAAUCAAAUUAACUCCUUUUCCCCCUUUAAUUUCUUCCUAAUUCUAUCUUAAGUUGCUUUUAGUGCAAUUAACGGUCCACCACAAACAAAAUGGAAACCAAAAAAUUGGAUUCCAUUUAGUUUCCUUGUUGUCCUUCUUAUCCUUUUUUAUGUACUAUAUACACGUCUUUUUUAAAAAAAAAAAUGAAAUUUUCCUAUUCUUCAGCACGCCGAUACACAUGAUCGAUUGUUGUUGGUAUAUAUGCAUUUUAUUAUUAAAUUAAUAUAUUAAGUGCAUAUGUGAUUAUCUAAUUUUUCUUCAUUUUGUUCAUUUUAUUAUUUCAACUGUAGCUAUUGUAAUUUGUGGUAUAUAUUACACCAACAUCGAUUAAUAAAAUAUCAAAUUAAUAAAAGGAGAGUUCGUCAAAGAUUAUGAGUCGAUAAUGAAAUUCUUACGUACAGCACUUAAUAAUAUGAUUAAAAUGCAUUUGAUUUUAUGUAUUAUUAAAUUCUAAUAGUUUUACAAAUUAACAAGGGAAAAUAAAAUUAAAGAAACUUUCUGUUCCGCAUUAAAUAUUACUUUCGAUGUUUAUAUAUGCUUUCACGUCUACUUAUGUCUGGUUAGUGCAUUAUGUCUAGACAAAUUAGAGAUAUAGGAGUUACAUUAGGAAAUCGUUUCAACUUGCCCUUAACCAAAUAAGUAAAUCGUCACAACUUGUGCAUAACUCUAAAAAAAAAAAAGUUAUAUCUAGUUUAAGUUCAUCAAUUCACUAAUAAAAGGAUCUUUACACAUAAGUUAUAGAAUUUGAAGUCCAUAAAACAAGGUAAUUAAGAAAGGUGGGGAACAACGGUCUCACACAAAAAAAAUUGUCUAAAAUUCUUUACUUUUUCUAACCGGAUACAUUUACUAAGCACUAAUUAUAUAUGACUAUACACAUAUAUUAACAUCAGCGGGUUAUUUUAAUUUAUGCGGUUGAGUACUAAUCGGCUUUUCAGUUUAAUUCUUUGAUAAUUUAAAAGAUUUUUGCACAAUCAAAUCGGUAACUACAUAUAUAAAAAUAUAACUAUCUAUAAUAAGCAUUAGUGAUAACUAAAAUGAUAACUUACCUGUUAUGACAUAUUAAACUACAUGAUAGCUAGUAUAAAAAACUUUGUAUUAGUAGUACUGGCAUAUUCCUCAAAUUAAAAAAGUAAAUGGUCUAGAAAUAGAACUAAAAUGGAAAAAAAAAAUGUAUUUGGAAAAAGGUCUUCCAAUGACUUUGUAGUAAAGUGAAAUCAUCUUCGUAAGUUAAUACUACCUAAUUUAGGCCUUUGUGUUGGAAAGAACAUGACCUAAACCUAAUUCAGCACUACUACUAUUAGCUAGUGCCUUUUAACUCAAAUUAAAAAAGCCCUUUAACUCAUCAUAUUUAAAUUUGAUCAUUUCAUGUUCACUACGUGAGUUAUAAUAAGUGCGCAGUUUAUUAUAUAAAAACAUAUAUAAAUCAGUGAUGGAGCCAAAAAGUUAAUUUUAUUGAGAGGGUUCAAAAAAUGUAUAUAUAAAUUAAUUGAAGAGGGUUUAAUAUCUACUAUACAUACAUAAAAAUAAUAAUUCAACUAUGUAUAAAUAGUGUAACUUUUCGUCGAAGGGGAUUCGAAUGAAUCCUCUCAUUGUAUGCUAGCUCCGCCCCUGAUAUAAACGAUUAAAAUAUGCCUAACACCCAUAAACAUCACCGUCACAUAAAAAAAUGAUCUAAUUAAUUAUGUCUGUAAAGUCAAGUUAAUUAUGUAUUCAAAUUAGGUCAUGAAGUAUGACUGGCCAUGGAGUUUCAUGAAUAUCCCCCCUUAUUAGUCUGCUAAACUAUUUUAAUUACGAUGAUAACUCCACGUUACACGAACAACAACAUAUAAUUUGAAAAGCUAUCUUAACUACGUAUCAAAUAUUAGUCGGUUCAUAAGUUCAACUUUUUAUACUUUUAGUUUAAUUUCUUUAUAUAAUCUCACAUUUUACAUUUUUUCAAACAUGAUUAAUCAGGUCGCUUAAAAGAUAAAAUUAUGUAUUAUUAAAUACAAUAAGAGGAAUUAACUAACUGUAUUAUUCUCAAAAAUAAGUAAGACAAGUACUAACCUUCUACAGAAAGUUAAAUUGCACCGAGUGUAAAAAUUUAAUCAUUCUUUUAUUUAUGUCGACCGUCAGAUAUCUCAUUCUAUAUAUGGAAUGGAAGAAUAUAUUUUUUUUAAUUUAUUAUUUAAUUAUUUUUCAUUAUAUUAACUAGACUUCCUAAAAUAUAUGGUAGAAGAAUUAAUUAAUAUUUUUCUUUCUACUAGAGUUCCUAAGAUAUAUGGGACUCUUAAAAUCUAUGGUAGGAAAAUUAAUUAGUAUUUUUCUUUCUAAUGUUCAAUUAGAAAAAUACUUCUAAAAUAGGACUAUAUUAAGAUAUACUUCUAUAAAUAUUGAGAUGUACGUUAAACUAGAGAACAAACCGGUUUGCCUAUUGGGAGAAUAUUCGAUUGCAUGUCUAUUGGUGGAUGUUUGAUUUUCUAACCCUCAACUUCUUCAAUGUCUUUGUCAGCAUAAUAGAAUUCAACAUGUGUAUGUAUAUAUCUUCUUUGUUUUCAUUCAAAAUCAUUCUUUAGGAUCAAAAUUUCCGCUCAGACAAAAAUUAGUUGGAUCAAAAUCAAAGCUUUGUGAUCACUAUUAUAUUAUUUUUUUUAUAGUUUACGGAUCGUAGAUGAAUGUCGGUUGACUUUGAAGAAUUUGUUGUGUAAAGGUUAGGUUUAAUUGUAUUGUUUUGAUAUAUUUAUUAUCUUAUUGUUUUAUUUUAAUUUACAGAUGCUAGAUGAUGUCGGUCGGUUUUGAAAUUUUUUCUAGGUAAAGGUUUGGUUUAAUUGUAUUAUCGUAAUAUCUCUAUUAGUUUGUUAUUUUGUGGUAGUUUACCGUUCUUAGAUGAAUAUCUCACCGGCUUUGAGAAAUUUUUGUAUGUAAAAUUUAAGUUUAAUUGUAUUGUUUUGAUAUCACUUUUAUUGUAUUGUUUUGUUGCAGUUUAUAGAUAAAUAUUGGUCACCUUUGAAUUAUUUUUUAUGUAAAGGUUAGGUUUAGUUAUUAUUUUAAUAUCUCUAUUAUAAUAUUAUUUUGUUAUUGUUUACAGGUGGUAGAUGAGUGUCGGACGACUUUGAGAAUUUUUUAUGUGUAAAGAUUAGAUUUAAUUAUAUUAUUUUGAUAUCUCUAUCAUUGUAUUGUUUUAUUAAAAUUUACGGAUGAUAGAUAAAUGUCGAUCGAUUUUUAAAAAUAUUUUAAAUAAAGAUUAUGUUUAAUAAAUAAAUUUUCCAUCUUUACAUACUCAAAAGAUAUAAAUUUAAUUAUUAUAUUUAUUUUUGUUAUUUAAACAAAUAUCCUAUUUAGUGUAAUGUUUGAAUUCAUUAAAGUGAGGUACACGCUCAAGCUGCCUACACCUAAACUAGUUAACUAAAUCACUCAAAUCUAUUUGUUAGUAUGUAAUUUUUAUUAAUCAGUGGAUCAGUCUCGUAAUGCUCAUUGGAACCACAGGGGGCAAACACAAAAGUGAUAUUUAGAGGACCUAUAGGUUAAAAUAUUUUGCUCUUGAUAAUUUUUUUUUACUUAAUUCUGUAAAAGUUGUUACGUACAAGUAAGUGCAUAUAAUAUGUGGCCACGCACAUCACCAUGCAAGCAGAAAUUCUAAUAGUGCUGUACAGCUUGGGGUUUCGAUGUGGAUGGUUGAUGAAGGCUCCUUUUGUGCAACUUGACGGGUGUAGUAUCGUAUCGAUAUUUAAAAUUAAUUUUUAAGUUAUAUAUACUGAGCAUAUCGUAAACUUAUAUAGUACUAUAAUUGAUUAACAUAUCGUAAGUUUAUAUAGUACUGUAAUUGAUUAACAUAUUAUAGCUGGUCAUGAGUAGUUACCCUAUUUUGUCAAAGUCAAACUGAUAUUGGGAACUUAACUACAAAAAAGUUAUUAGUAAUGCCUAAUUUACAGGUGACUUAAUUAAUAGAGUGAUCACUAAUUCACUAUUAGUAAUGCAUAGAAACUGAUCUCUAUUUUAAGUUUAGAGUUUCUCAUAUUCAUUAAAAGUGCAAACGAUUUUUAUACUAUUACGCCUGUGCAUGCUGUAGUAUAUUUUUUUUUUACAUUUAUAAGUUCGUCCUCUUUUAUGGAGAGUUACCUGUAAAUUAAUAUCUUCAAAGUGACAUUUUUUACCUAGUGAUAAGUUAAACGCUUGAAGUUAUUAAUUCACAUCCGAGAUACAUAACUAGAAAUACAUAUGACAAAUUUAAAUACGAGUCAUGUUCGUUUAGAUGUGAAAAAACAUAUACUCCCUCCGUUUAAAAAAGAAUGACCUACUUUUUUUUUUAAUUGUUUUAAAAAAAUGACUCCUUUCCUUUUUUUACAAUACUCUAAUUUCAAUUUUAUACGUGUUAUAUUUAAGACCACAAGGUUAAAAGGCAUUUUGAUACAUUUGACCUAACCCUAAUUUAGGACCACAAUAUUUUAAAAUCUUUUUAUUUUUUAAAACUUCAUAUCAAAUUAAAUUAAAUCAUUCUAUUUUAAACGAAUGGAGUAAUUCGAUUCAUGCUAUGGUAGAUCGUUGUAGGCUUGUAUAAAGAGUUAGAAAGAGGUAAUUAGUCAUGCAGGCCCAAUUAUAAUUAAGUGGCCAUGGCCACGUGUGUAAGCCCGUAAAAUGCAAGGAGUUUAUUCUAGAAUCAGCCCAAAUCAGGACAUUCCUUAUUUGGUGUUCCAUAGAUUUAGAUAUUUUUUACUAAAAAUUAUAUAAAUACACAAUUUAUAUUUACAAUAUUACAAAAAAUCUCAACUCUCUAAAUAUAUUACAAAAAUUUUAACAUAUACACAGAAUGCUAUGUAUAUAUCGGCUAUGUUAUGUAUAUUAAUAGGGAGAGAGAGUAAAGUUAUUAAAAAAAAGUGGGAGAGAGUGUAAUUACUUCAAAAAGGUUGGUAUUUAUGUCAUUUAUACUUUUUUUUAUUCGGAGUUCACUGUCCGAUCUGAUUACGAGCCACAAUUAUUUGGAAUUCUAAGAAUCAUAUCGGAUUAGGUCUGGCUUUGAUGUAAUCUCAAAAGCUAGCCCAAAUAAAUGAGUGUUGCUCAAGUCAUCGAUAUAGAAUUUAUUUCGUCCACAUCUGCUAUUAGCAAGUUGGACAUUUGUUAGAGUAUGAUCAAAGAACGCUAUUUGAAAGUUUUAGAUGAUCCUUAUUUUAACAUGAAAGUUGCAUGACUAACCAAUUUCCAAUCUAAUGAUUUGUGAUGGUUAAGUGUCAGUAAGAUAUUUUAAUUUAAGAAACUCGAUCCUUUUCUUAAUUGAAAAAAAAAAAAAUUAGCAAAUGAAUUUCACAAACAAAAUUACUAUUUGGAUUGGUUACUUUAUAAAAGUAACUUUUUUUUUAGAUAGUAAUAUCCUCGUAAAUCCAUUAACUCGUAAAAUUUUUGUUAAUCUCUUUAUCUAAAAACAACUUGAAUCGUUAAGAAUUUUGAAUCAAAUUGACAAAUAAUUUUAAUUAAUAAUCAAAUUAAUUCUAGCUACACAAAUUUUAAUUACUCAUGUAUUAAUUUUUUUAAAAAUCUAUACAAAAUAAUCCAUAAAUUAACUCGAUCAUAACUUAUACAUUUUUCGUAUGUGAGAUUAUAAAAUAAUAAUCAAAUAUUGUACUUUAUUUACUAAAUCUUAUACAAAACAAUUAAAAAGCAAUUGUACCAACUUAUACAUAAAUGGUUAUCUUUCUAGCCAACAACCAACCACCAAGCACCGACCUCUUAGUUAAUGGGUUUAUAUUAUUUAGUAAAAACAUAUAUAUGUUGACAUUUCGGCCGAUAUUGAACAAAUACACAUUUCCUUUUCUAUGAAUACCAUAAAGAAAAAAAUUCAAUGAAAUGCCAAUUAGUCAAAUUUGGACAAGAUGGAUUGCUUGGAUGAUAAUCAACUUCAAUUCUAAUUUUGAGAUAUGAUUUCGAAUCAUCAAAAAGAAGCAGGAGGGAUAAUUAAAAAAAUAAGAAAAAAAUUAAAUUUAAUUAAUUUAUAUCUCACAAUAUUAAAAAAAUUACAAUUUUUUUUACAAAAAAGAUCAUCAUUUUUGUUAGGAAAAAUUGCGGGACAUUAUUACUCCCUAUUUUAAUUUAUUUAUCUUAAUUUUUUUAAAAAAAUUUAAACUAAUAUUUUUUGUUGAUAAUUUUUAAUUAACGUUUAUGUGACAUGUUUAAGAUGAUAAAAUUUAUUUUAAAUUUAAAAAAUUCAGAAAAUAUAUAUAUAUAUAUAUUUUAAUUCUACAUCAAGAUUAAAAUGAAAUAAACAAAUUAAAAUAAAGAUAGUAUUAUUAAAAAGAAAAAAAGGAAGCUUGAUAAAGUAUGCUAACUAGAAAGAUAUUAUUAGUGAAUAGUGGAUAAUUAUGAACUUUGGUCUAUAGUACUUCCAAAAUAAUAGUCCUUCCAAUAGUCGCAAAGCAAACCGAAGAAGAAAAAAGUGAUCAAAUUCUUUGAUGAACCCAAAAUAAAAAUUAGUAACAAAAUUUGAUCAAAUCACUGUUCAAUUGAGCUAAAGAGAAAAAGGGGAAAUGGCGAAUUUGUAUGUAAAAGCAGUGCCACCGGCGGAUCUGAAUCGGAACACAGACUGGUUCAUGUACCCUGGUGUAUGGACAACCUAUAUACUCAUCCUUUUCUUUUCAUGGAUUCUUGUUCUUUCCCUUUUUGGUUGCUCACCUGGCAUGGCGUGGACCGUUGUUAAUCUUGGUCACUUUCUGGUAUGUUGUUGUUGUUGUUGAUUGACCCAGUUCUUUGCGAUUUUGUGUGGGUUUUAGUGUUGGGUUUUUGAAAAGAGUUUCUUUUUUUGUUUGAUUCUUUGUGUUGAAAGAUUUGAUCUUUGAUGACUUUGGAUUGUCUUUUGUGAUUUUGAGUGGUUUAAGAUUAACCCCUCGUUCGCAAGGGCAUGGUUGCAUGGUUGGGAGGCGGGUGGGUCUACUAUGUGGGAGACCUGGAUCGAAUCCACCCUCCGUCUGCUGAUCAGCCAUGAGCUCGUCGCACGGUGUACAUAUUCAGUGUGGUUUGCGAGCUAUUGCACAGUGAGCCUUUUACCACAAAGGGGGUUCCACGAAAAAAAAAAAAAAGAUUAACCCCUCAUUGUGGUUUCGAUCUAUGUGUGCUUCUGUUUAUCAUUUAAGUGUUUUUUAACCUUGUGUUUUAGGAGUAAGGGCGAGUGAGCCCUUUAUGUUGAAAGAUUUGAUCCUUCUUUCAGAAUUUUGGAUUGUUUUCGUGAUUUAGACUGGUUUAAGUUUAUCCCCACAUUGUGGUUUUAAACUAUGUGCGUUUCUGUUUAUCGUAUAGAAGUGUUAUCUUUUACUUUGUGUUAUAGGAGUAAGAGUUUUGCGAGUCCUUUUAUGUUGAAGAAUUGAUGUUUUGGUUCAGGAUAUUGAUUUCGUUGGAGAAAUUGAAUGGCUUAGAAGUCAGCCUUAUUACGGUUUUGAUUUUUAUGCGUCUGUCUUUCGUUUGUAUACUUUACUUUUUCUCGAGAGUUCUUGGUUCGAGGCUGUUUUUUGGUGAAAUUGAAUGGGUUAAGAUUGGCCCAAAUUGUUUCGGAUUUGGAACUUUUGAGCUAGAGUAGUACGGGGGGGAUCCACCAUAGGGUAAGGGUGGUUCAGUGCACACCCUUAGCUGGACUAUUAUGUGGUGUAUAAAGGUUUAAUGUUAGCUAUUUCGAGUGCAUAUUUAAUGUUGCUUACCCUAAACACAACUGAGGAAAAAGAUUCGCACACCCUUCGCAAAUUCCUGACUCUGCCUCAAGGAUUUCUAGUUCAUAGUGAGUGAUGUUCACUUCACUUCUAGGGACUCUAUCUAGAAGAAACGUUUAAUGAAAUAAUAGAGUUGGAAUAUACAGGGUGUACUCAAGGAUGAAAUGGAGAUGGGUUGUCAAUUAUCUGUUUAAGAAAUUCCUCCUUCCUUUUCGAAGAGAAUGACAUAGUUAGUUCGGCAUAUUCAUCGUUGAUAGAUUUUGGGGCUUUACAAUUUUUUUGCAUUUGUUGUCGGUAAACAUUUGCAUGCUUUUGAACUAUACACUUUUUGUUUCUAGUUUGUACUGCUAGAAUCAAGUUGAAUGGGAAAAUCAUUCAGUCAAUGUCUUGGAGUGACCAAAGUCCAGGUUUUGCAUUCUCAUAAGUUCUAAGACACUGGAAGAAAAUUUCUUGCAACUCUUUUUGUCAAAGUCAUUGUUGGUUUUUUUGUUUUUUAAAAGAUGGGGCAGUGAAAAAGGGUUAAAAUGACUCUCUUUGGAUUGAAAUGACUUUCAAGCUUUCAAUGGCUUUCCAAUAAUUUUAUUAAGCAUAAGAGGGCUUUAAAUAGGUAACUUGAAACAACAAAUCUGCAUAAUUUCAAAUUCAAAAACCUAAAAUUUCUCAACAACUAAAACAACCUAACCUAAAAUUUAAAAUUCAAACUUAUCUUAAUUCUAAACAACUUAUGAACUAAAAUUUACUGCAGUAACUAAAUCAAUUUUCAACACUCCUCCUUUGGUUUAGUUACUGCAAUUUAAAAACUGCUCCUCCUCAAUUUUUGUUCUGGCAGUGCAUGCUGAAUUUUUCAAUUUUUUUGAACUUGCACUUUUUCUUUUUGAUAUUGAUCUUUCUCUUUUUUCUUUUGAUUCUUUGAUGGAGAAACACCAUCAACAAUCUUGUAUUGUUUGAAAGUACUUUUAUAGGCUUUGCAAACUGUUGUAAAGUUUUUUCACCCCUCAAAACAUCACAUAAAAGAUAGGUUUCAAAAUAUGAUUUCUUCAUCGACUAAAUUAGACAGUUUUUGUAGAUGAAAAUUUUUGGAGCAUUCAAAGAGAGACUGCUGCUUGACAUAUUUUUGGUUGAAAAUAGCCCUAUGCUUUGAAAAUAAGCACGGGUUGAAAAUGGUAGCCCUGACGGGUUAAAAAUGAUAUGGUAGCGCUUUGGAAGAACUCACAGAUCCCGUAAGAUCAGUGAGGCUCUUGAUACCACUAUUAGUUUUUUUUAAAAAAAAAGAUGGGGCAGCGAAAAAAGGUUAAAAUGACUUUCUUUGGAUUGAAAUGACUUUCAAGCUUUCAAUAAACUUUCAAUGGCUUUCCAGUAAUUUUAUUAAGCAUAAGAGGGCUUUAAAUAGCCAACUUGAAACAACAAAUCUGCAUAAUUUCAAAUUCAAAAACCUAAAAUUUCUCAACAACUAAAAUAACCAAACCUAAAAUUUAAAAUUCAAACUUAUCUUAAUUCUAAACAACUUAUGAACUAAAAUUUACUGCAGUAACUAAAUCAAUUUUCAACCGUCAUAAUGGUAAAUUACAAUUAAGUAACCUCUGCUGCCAUUUUCUUAGAGAAAGAUUGCUUGUUAACGCAACAUUUGAAGCCAUUAUGGAUUGGUCAAACUUUACGAAUUCAUGUUUUGUUCAUUAGGAUAAUAUCUAGUGUUAAGAUGUAGAGCUCCGGAUGGAUGGUCCAUUUCGCUACAUUUGCAUCUUGUAGCGAAAUUGAAAAGCCAAGUAUUUCAUAUAAUAUGUGAGGCGCUUGUGUGCCUUAAGUUUACCUGCCAAUUUGUGCCUAAGAAUGUCCUAGGUCGUUAACAGCAGCUAUUUUUUACCUGUUCUUGGCCGUCUGUUUUUAUUUGCUAUUUGACAAAGUAAGCUGCUGAUGCACAUCUGACUAUUCCAAUGUAGCAUUGCUAUGGUUUUUCUAGAUAUAAUCAGUUUUAAUUGAUAGCAGGAAAACUUUAUGCAAGCUGCAGUCUUACUUACAAGGUUGUUUGACCUUGGAAUACUUUUGUCUGGACAACUUAAGAACAAAUCAAUGUGCUUCAUUUUAGUGACCUUUUGCAACUUUAAGGGUAACUGAGUUUGGGACAGUUCUCUAUAUCUAGGAACUAGUUUUAGCUUUGUCUUGAAAAUAAGUAGGUCCUAUGAUAUUUAGCACAUCUUGCACUUGUGCCUCCUCCACUUUGUUGCAGUACCCUUUUUCUUUCAUUAGUCAAGACUAUUACUUGCUCCGUAUCGAUCUGUUUGUUUUGUUUUGACUUGACAUGGAGUUUAAGAAAGUAAAGAAGAUUUUUGUAUCUUGUGGUGUUAAACUGAAGAUGUGUAGAAUGUACCAAAUGUCCUUUAAUUUGAUGGUCUUAAACAUGUCACAUGGAAAGUUUGACUUAAUGAGUUGCCAAAAAAGGAAAGAGGCAUUUUUUGAAAUGGACUAAAAAGGAAAGUAAGGCAAACAAAUUGAAACGGAGGUAGUAUCAUGUUAGUAAUGAAACAAAUACCCACAGAAAUCUUACACUUAAUUAAAAACCUAAUUACACAUUAAAAUUGUACCCAUGACCUCUUAAAUGUUUGGUCUCUUAAAGUGGGUCCGUUCUAACUUAUUUGGAUUUCUUAAGAUGUACAAAAGUUACUGCAGUGUGUGAGGAUUUUCUAUUUGAGGAAUGUACACGGCUACAUGCGUUUGCACAACCCAAGAAGUAUAAUAAGAUACUUUGGACGGACGAAGAAACAUGUUACUUGUUUGGAAUUGAGAUCUAGUUGUUGUUGUUGAAGCCAAUUUAGAUCAAACUAAUAUUAGAACCUUUUUGGAAUCACAAAGUAUGUUCCUUCUAAUGACAUUGAAGAGCUUGUACCUCUCUUAGGCAUCUUAAGAAUUCCAAUUAUAUUGGAUUAUCAGGAUGAAAACUUGAAUUUUCAAAUUUGAAGUCUCAGGCUUUUGCUUUGAGCUAUGAUACUGGACAGGAUUUGGUUCUUUUUUUCUGAGCUAGCUGUGACAUCUUUGGAAGAUAUAAUACUUGAGCUCAUAUUAAAAGAAGGCAUAGCAGCGGAGUAAGAUCUAUUUAAUUUAUUACCAAUUAAUCACAAACACUUUCAGCAUGUAGUUUUUGAACUAUUAUAAAAUGAAUUUCAAUUUACUAAAAACACAGGAAGCAAAAAAUGUACUUUUCUUGAAUUUUUGUAACCUACAGAAACUGCGUGAUGCUCUACAGAGAUUUGAAAUGAGUGAUCUAUUAAGGAAACAGCGGAUGAAUUAACCACUCAACUUUUACACUGAAUUGGGCAAAUAUGGUUUUAAAAUUCAAAUUUCCAGAUAUUUUCCUUUAAUUUGGUCUUUGAUCGGCUGCAUCUUCAUUUUUAUUUUAGUUACUGUUGAUAUGAGGUUGAUUAAUUUAUUUUGAUAUGUUCACGUGAUUUAUCCACAAAAGGAAAGCAAAUGAUACCUUCACAUGUAACUGAAUAUGCUUCAACAUGCAGGUCACAUAUCACUUCUUCCAUUGGAAGAAAGGAACUCCAUUUGCAGAUGAUCAGGGAAUGUACAAUCAAUUGACGUGGUGGGAGCAAAUAGACAAUGGGAAGCAGCUCACUCGUAACCGAAAAUUCUUAACUGUUGUGCCUGUCGUCCUGUAAGUUUCAUCUUUCUUUUCCGUUGACUUUCAAAAUUUGGUUUGGAAAACGUUAAGAUCAUCAUGACAUCCUAUAAGGGCAGAGUGUGCGCAAUUCAUACCUCUACGUCAGAGGGAGGUAAGGGGAAAAUAAGACGUGCUAAGAUAAUGCUUGUUCUUUCCUUUUUUUCGUUUUAGGUGCAAUAAGAGAGUGUUGGAUGGUUAAUUUGUAUGAUUUUAAUUUCUAAAAUUAAUUUGUUUUCCGAGCUAAUUGAAUAAAUUGUCCCAAUUUAUGCCUUGAAAAGAAACUUAAACCAGAAUGUUUUUUUUUUAAAUGCAAAUUUCAUGCUAUGGCACUGCUUUCUAUUUAUUAAUGAAACCUACCAGUUACUGUUAUCAACCCAUUUUUUUUCUUGUGCAAAUCUCAUGCUCAUGCUGUAGCAGGUCUCUGUUUUCUUUUAUUAAUGAAACCUACCGGCUGUUAUUAUUAUCAACUUAAAUAAAGGACAAAAAAUGUGAAUUUAGAAGUCUUGUUAAAAAGAGAAAAAAGACAUGGGAGGCAUUAUGAUCGGGUUAUAGAGGGAUAGCGUGUUGUUUUGAGCAGCUGUCUUCUGACUAUAAUGAGAAAAAAAGCAGAGGUGCAUGACACACUCGAGGAUUGAAAAGUUGACAAAGUAGCAAAGUUAAAUGACAGGCUAGAUUCAAUGGCGAGCCUAUACUCCUAUUGAACAAUAGAGAUCUUUCUGUGGACAAACACGAAGAUUAUGUAUUAUAUCACAUUCUUAGAUUUGAGCGGCAAUAUGAAAGGCAACUACUAAUAAGGGGGCUAAAACCAAGACCUGUGCCUUGCUGAUGUAUUCCUUUGAAGGAAGAGCUCUCUGCUUUUUCUUGUUUUUUUUUUUUUUUUCAAAUUUAACACUCCAACAACUAGCAUGUUAACUAGGUUGCACAAAUCCACUAGAAGAGGGGUGUGUAGGUAACUUGAGUCUGACAGCGAUAUUCCAAGCAUUCGACUAAUCCAGAUAUAAAAGUACUUAGAAAAUGAAAUUUUGUUCCAAAUAUGUAGGUCUGAGUCUUCUAAAUGAAGUGGGACUAUUGAUAUUUCCGAAAUAGUUCAAGAAUCUAUAACAUUUGCCUCCAAGUGUUUCCAUCGAUAGUCUGAUGCUUUUCGAGAAAGAGUUGUCCUUAAGACACACAUGGGGUAUGUGUCAUAUAUUUGGAAAGUACGUGAGUAACUAUUAAAAUUAGAGAAUAAGAGGAGAAAAGGAAUUCAAAGAGUCUCAGUUCAACUUUUAAAAAAGAGGGCUCUACUUUUUAGAGAAAGCAAGUAUAUAAAAACAGAGGAACAGAACUAGAAAAGGAGAAAGAAGAAGACGUUGAAGCAAAUCAUUCUCCUAAUAAACUCAUAUUUAAUUGCCCAACAAGAACUCGUAUAUUAGUUUUAAAUUUUCUUAAUCAUUGCAUGGAAAAACCUGCGGAAUGAGCAAUCAUGAAAUAUUAUAGGUUUUUCCUAGUAUGUUAAUGUUGAUUAGCUAUUAAUAUUGUAAUAAUACAACUACUUUAGUGGUUUAUAUACCUUUUCUUAAUUAAGUAAAUGUGUAUUUGUCAACUUCUGAUUUUUUUAUUUUACCGGCUUAUUAUUUGAAUGUCGCAUUUCCUCAAAUAUGUUCUGUAUAUGCCCACUUUGUGGGAAUAUACUGGGUUUGUUGUUGUUGUUGUUGUUGUACACACACACAUCCUUGUUUUUGAGAUUUAUGGUGUUAACAUUUUCGAGACAUGUGGAAUACAAAGUGCCGACUCUAUAUGCAUGCAACGUAGCAUGCCAAGCCCGUGAUAGUUCUCAACUUGAAUUAAUAAUGCAUGUAAAAGUCAUUCGGAAUGUAAUUUGAGCAAAGGCAGUAUUUGUCUAAGCAAAAGAUCAGUCCACACACUAGGUGGCUCUAGCCCAAAAUCUUGAUCUUUAGUAUUUUAACGCAUUGCGAACUCUCAGUGAGUAAUUAUGAGGGAAGAUAGGCAAUAACUUAAGCUUUAUGAUUGAGUUGUUUGUGAGUCAUAUCAGGGAUGCCUCCUACAUUCCUUAUAGCUAUUUUAUGUUUUUUCCUCUCUUUUCUUUUCUACUUUAUUGAUGACAUUUUUCAGUUAGAGAGAUUUCUUAGCCAACUUGUUUAACUGACAGGUACUUGAUAGCCUCACAUACAACUGAUUACCAACAUCCAAUGCUCUUCUUCAAUACCAUUGCUGUGACUGUGCUGGUUAUUGCCAAGUUCCCGAAUAUGCACAAGGUCCGAAUCUUUGGAAUUAACAGCGAUCCGUAAAUGUUUCUUUUUUUGCGUCCAGUUUGACUGUUUCUCAGAGUUUAAGCUUUCUCAUCCUCCUGCUGUUCUGCGUAAAGCGAAGCUCGUCUCUGUAUAGAAGUCAGGACAGAAAAGAAUACUUGCUACUGCUUUAGUGCUAAUGGCUUUUACAAGUGAGUGCUUCUCUAGAUAGUGAAGCAAUAAAUGUAACAAGUUUUCUGUACAGUGUAAUUUUCCCAGCAAGCAUUAUAUGAGCACUAUAAUUAGUUCAAUCCCUCUCUGAACAAUACUAUCAUUUUCAACAUCUUUUUUGAGCUUAUUAUGCUGGAAAAUGGAUGGAAUUAUAUUUUUUAAUCAAUUUAAAUUUUUACAUACCGACUCUACCUUAUGGUAGAGUUAAGAUUGCGUAUACACUACCCUUUUCAGACUCCAAUUGUGAGAUUAUAUUGGGCUUAUUGUUAUGUUGUUACAUAGAGACGGGGGUUGUUCACGGGGGUGUUCACAGUUUGGUUUUUAACCAAAUCGAACCGCGAUCCAAACUAAAUCGAUUAAAAAAAUCGUAUUUGGUUAAGUUUGAUUUUGAAUUUUAAAAAAUUGAUAUUAAUUUGAUUUGAUUUUAUAUAUUUUAAUCAUGAGUUAACUUUAGUCGUAACACAUUCAGUCAUGUCUUCAUCCAGUUGACAGUACCUUAUGAGAUUCUAAAUGAAUUUGGCACUUUGAAUGAUAAAUGAUAGUAAUUGUGAAAAUAAUAUGUUGUUGUAUACUGACAACAAAGAUUUAUUAGACUAUAGACAAUCAUUAGUUUUAACUUUCUUUUUGAACUUUGUUGAGCAAGAAGUUUAGGUGUUCACCUUUUGGGGGUUUAUCAUAUCGUUCUGUUAAAUGUAGUUUUUAAAUAUUUUUUUUGGAAGCAUUAAUAUGGUGUUGUUCUUGGUUUUGUGGAAGUAUAACACUCAGAUGACAUCUUAGUUUCAAGGUUGAGAUACAACACUCGGUUGAUAUCUCAUAUGUUAGAUUGGAUCUGUUUUUUAAAAUUUUCAAUUUUUAUCAUUAGCUAAAGUUAUAAAAACCAAAAAAAUGAACCAAACCGAACUAAACCGACGGUUAUUUUUUUGUUUGAUUUGGUUUGAUUUUAGAAAUUUAAAAACCAACUAAAUUAAUUCGGUUAUAAUUUUUACCGAUAACCGACUCAAACCGACCCAUAAACACCUUAUUAGGGACAUUGUAAAAUUGCGACCCAUAAACACCUUAUUAGAGACAUUGUAAAAUUGCUUUAACACUAUUAACUUGUAAAAGACAAGCUACAAAUGAUUUUUCUUUUGGGUAUAAUAACUUAGAAAAGAAGACACGUAGUGUAAUGUCACAAUUUGUUAACUUUUUGCACUAACAGAUAAAAAAUUGCAUAUUAUGAAAUGUGUAUAAUUAAAUCAUUUUUAACCGUUCGAUCCUAAUAAUCGGGUAUGUUAGGAACUGAAAAAAAAGGUAAUUAAUUAAAAGAAAAGGAUUAGGUAUUGGUUGUGGCAGGUAGGUUCCUUUUUCGUUUGAAAAUUACAAUAUGUUUAGUGGCGUUGUUAAAUAUCAUUAUUAUUAUUUCAAUUUUAGACCAAAGCACUUAGAUUGAUUUCAAUAAUUAAUAGCUGGAUCAUCUACUAAUUCUAUAAUUUCAAACUAUUGUAUUGUUGGUAAGAUGGUAGCCCUCUACACAAUUUUGCAAGGUUUCCAAAGAGAAAUACUUUUUUUCCUAGAAAGGUUCUUUCUUAACAGGAUUUGUGUGUGAUUUUUCAACAAAGACGAGUUUUGACUCUCUUUAUAUAUAUAUAUAUAUAUAUAUAUAUAUAUAUAUAUAUAUAUAUAAUAUGGAAUAAAUAUGAAAUAUAUAUAUAUAUUUUCGAUUUUCCAUUAUAACUUUCUGAAAAAAAGGGAUCCUAGUACUGCUUGACUCCAUCCUAUAUGCACUAGAUGUCCAUAAAGUUCCGUCAAACUAAGAUACUUAACUUUGCAACACUAUGAAAAUUUGAAAAUAGUAAUUAAUAAAGUUCUACAUUGAUAGUGCAAAGAUCUUUUAUGCGAUUGAGUCAUUUAAAAAUUAUACUAGAUAAAUGUUUAUAGUGACUAUAUUUAUUGAUAUAUAAUAUAGAAAAAGUAAGUUAUAUAUCAACAUGUCAAUUAGAAUCGAUUAACUAAAAGCAAGGUAUAUAUUAACAGAAGAAACAAACGAUAUUAUGCAUUGUCAUAUAACAGACUAUUCGAAUAUAUAUUACAGCUUUUUCAUAUACACAUUGUCACUGAUUGUGUUAAAAAUAAUUCACUAUCAAUUGUAAUGAAGCAUAAAAAUAAUUAACCACAUUAUUCAAACAAGAAUAUUAAUCAGCUUCUCUUGUUUCCUUUUUUUUUUUUUUUCUAUAUAAAUAGUUCUAGCUAUAGAUCGGUAAAGGGUGUUUACCACAAAUUAGUUCAUCAACUGAACAAAUAUAAUGUAGCCAUUAAUUAGGCGGUGAUUAAGGUAGUUAUAAUGAUCAUAUAUAUAAUAAAUACAUACUAAUACAGAAACCCUAGAAGCUAACUUCAAUCAAGCUUAGCUUAAUUCCUCAAAGUAAUCAUAGACCAAAUUAACAACAAUGGAACGAGAUCAACUAUCUUCUAUGUUAGUACUUCGUUCUAAUUAAACAUCACCAAACAAAUUACUGGUAACCAAAGCAUCGUACAACAACAUACCCAACGUAAUCUCACGUGAAAAAAAUUGUUCCAAAAAAAAAAAAAAAGAGAUUUGUGCACAUUAUUAUUCCUUUGGUUUACCAGGAUCCUCCAGCACCUAACAUCCCAUUCCAAUAUAAUCCAGCAUUUGAAUUAUUAUUCUCCUGUCCCUUUGUCUGAUGAUGGUGAUGAUCAGCUUCAUUUGUACUUGAAAGUUGCUUCAAUCCUCCUAGAGGGAACAUUAUUCUUGCACCUCCAUUUUCUUGAACCCCUGGCCCUCCACUUGGAUAAUUACUCAAAGAAGCUGUAUGAUCAUGAGUAUUACCACCACUAAGCUUUAAUUCUUGAAAUGGAAAUCCUGAAGUACUGUAUAAAGCAUUCAAAUCUGGUGUUGAUGGUGAGGAGAUGAAUGAAGUGAACCCUCUUGAAGCAAUUCCAGUCCUAAGCAGCUCCAGAGCUGAAAUUUGUGUGCUACCUGAAGUUGAACAUGACGUUAAAGAUACAUAAUUAAGUAAACAAAAGUAUGUAUUUCGAUUAACUUUAACAAGUUAAGGUUUAAUAGAUGAGGUGAUCAUUACAUGUAUUCAAGUAAGAAGCUGUCAUUAUUAAAAAGAGAAUUUAACGUGCUUGGCUCACGAUUAAAGAGAUUAUUAAUCAAGCCCCCCAAGUAAAAAGCUUGUUGAAAAUAUGAUUAAACAAAUAAAAAUAUGGCAAGGUCAGACUUAGCUUCAAUAUACAUGAAUCACAGUAGGCAUUAGAGAUCCUGAGUUCUAGCCGCAACUAUCAUUAUUAAAAAGAGUUUUACAUGCUUAGCUCACGAUUAUAUUGUUGAAAAUAUAAUUAAGUAAAGGUAUGCUCUGUGUCUGUUUGUUUCCACAAAGACAUAAAAGAUGAGUACCUAGAUGAUUGUUGCUGGCAUCCAUCUUUGGCAAUUCAAGAAACUGAGGGAGGACACCAUGGAACGACGUCUGAUGAUCAUGUGGCACAGUUCGAAACCCGAGGCUAAGAUCUUGGCUAGUACUUCCAACAAUAUUAAUCUUAUUAGGGUUUUGAUGAAGCUGAUGAUCUGGAACAUGACUAUUCAAAUUAGGGUUCAGAUCAAGAACUUUUUGGGAAGAAGAAGAUCUUUUGUUUUUCCUAGAACCACCACCAACAGGAACAUUCCUAAGAGUUCCACCUUCAGUCCAAUACCUUCUACAAGUCUUGCAGAAAUAUCUUGGUUGAGUCAGGCUGUAAUUGUUGUAGUAACAAAACUUUGUAUUUGUUGAAUUGCACCUAGGACAAUUUAUUGCUCCAUCCUUCACUGGCCUCGCCUUCUUAUUAAUUAUUUCUCCACCUGGCCUUGAACCUAUUUCGGCACCCAUCGAUGAUUUCACAGCUCCGAUUUCCUAAGAAUUAUUAACCAAAAAAAAGGAUCAAGAAAAUGCAAAGAGGAUGUAUAGUAUAUGCAAGAUUUCAUUUUUGGUAAGCAAUAAUGACAAACUGGAUAAUUUCUAACUCCAAAAGUUGAAUUGGAGGAAAGUGAAAAGCAAGCAAACAAAUAAUAAUAACGAAGAACGCCUUUAUUUCCUAUGCUUUAAUUAUAUGAUAUCAUGUGGAAAGUGGAAGAAAGAAAAAAGUGCACUGAACUUUGAUGUGUAAAGAGAGAACGAACACACUUUAAUUUGGAAAAGGAUAGCAUGAACUAGAAGGUUUAAAAAUUUAAAACCAAGAAACUAAACUUCAAAUAUUUUUCUUAUGCAGAUAAUUAAGUACGUGCUGAUAAAUUAAUGAAUUUCUAUAUACCACCUGCGUCGACCAUUGAGUAGUCUCCAUAAAUCUGAGAAGACAAAAAAAAAAACAAAAAAAGGUAGAAAGGCUGAGAGAAAAUUAAUUUAGAGCUGGUUUGUUGGAGGUGUGUCUUUAGUACAUACAAGAAAGAAAGAAUGUUUUUGAGUUGUUUGUGUGUUGGCUUUAAUGGGGUUAGCUUUACUUUCCAGAUCAAAUGAUGGGAAUUAAAAAAGAUGAAGGGAGAUAUUAUGUGUUUGUUUUGACUACUACAGCUUUAGAAAUAACAAACACUUUUUUGUAUCUUAACUUUUGUCCGGAUUUCAAAGAGGGGAUAUUAUCAUAUAGAUAAAGAGAAUUCAACCUAGCUAUUUUUAAAACCCUUGUGAGUGGAAUUAUGAAUGGAUAUGUUCUGUAGUGGGGUUUAGUUUCUCCUUUUUGACCCUUUAAUAGCUAGCUAGGGGGGACUUUGAUUCCCUAUCGUUCGAUUACCAUUUUAUUUUAUCUUUAAUUUCCCCCCUCAUUUAGACUAGAGUGGAUUAAUUUGCUGUCUUGCACUUCUUACACCAAAGUUAUGUUAAUUUACCUUAUGCAGAUUUUUUGGUGCUAGUGUUUUUAGCGCGAUCACCACCAACUAUUACUAUCACGUUGUUUGAUUCUUAGAUGAUAUACAACCAGCUAUCUGAUCAAGAUGUUAGUUCUUCAAUCAUAAAUUAUAGUUCGAUUCACAUAUGUCUUAUGAUGUUAUAUUAUCUAGUUCAAGUAGUCGAGCAACAAAACUUUCUCUCUUUUGGUAGCAUUACUACCUUUUAUGUAUCUAUAAUUCCAUUAACAUAAAUUUCGAGUUACGCACAGCUCGAUUCAUAAUGUUGUUGCUAAUAUAAUCGCAAAUUAUAUUCUAGAAGUGAGCUCAACUAAGAGAUGUUUAAGGUGCUAGCCAGGCAUAUCUCACCCACAUACUCUAAUUAAGCUAGCUCGACUUCCUUGAUAAUCCCAAUACAUAUAAUUAGCAUAUUUCUCUCUCACACACACAAUACAUGUACUUACAUGUACAUACGUACAUGUACAUACAUGCAUCAGGUGUUUGAUAUCCACAUUGAAGUUUGAUUAAAUUUGGACUCGCUCUGGGAUUCCAUCUCGGCUGCAACAUUGUAUAUAUUUUAGUCCAUGCUUUUGUUGAUCUGUUCUACUGUCGAAAAAAAGGUUAAAGCUUCAUUACGAUUUCACUCGAAUUUUUUAAAUGUCCCAAAAAGUGCCUUGUUGUUAAGUUGUUGAUCUUAUAUUGAGAAAGCCACAGCUAUAGCGUUUAUGUAUGACGAUGAUGCAAUUUUAUUUAACUUGUCAAGCACACUUUAAAAUCAUCUUUUGGCAUAUAUAUUUGUCAUUGCAACUUUUUGGGAGCAAUAUUCCUUGCUAGUUGGGAAGAUAUAUAUGCAUGAUCAAGUCUCAGUAAAACUCAGCUGGAAGAUUCACCAACUACUGGAUUGUAUUAUUUGUAUGUUCAUCACCUUUUGUCCCUUCUUCUAGGGCAACGUGUGAAUAUUAUUAUUAGUGCUAAUUAAUUAAACUUUAACGUGAAUCUCUUUAACCUGGUCUAAUUGUCUUCUCCAUCUAAUCUUUUCUGCUUUUGACGUAAAGUAAAUUACUUCAUUCCUAAGUAUAUGAUAUGAUAUAUGAUGCAGCCUUUUUCUGUGUUUCCCUUUACUAAAGCAUUCUUCACUGCCUUUAGAAAUUAUUCUUCUGUAAAAAGACAUUACGGCUUCAUACCAACCAUAUCGAUUGGUCCACUAUAUUUUGCUUUUCUUGAUUUCUAUUUGAAAACACACACACACUUUCUUCUACUUUUACAUAUUAAUCUUAUCGUCUUCAUUCUCAUAUAGUACUUCCUUCUUCAUCUUCUUUUCUUCUCUGCUGGCCCUUGGAUAUGCAUGCAAUGUUGUGUACAUAUACAUCCAUGUAUACGAUAAAGAUUUAAGUUAUAUAAACUAACAAUGUUGUAGACCACAUCUGGUGAGAAACAUGAAAUCAAUCGACAUCAGAAAUAGGGAAUUCAUAAAGAAAACUAUUGAACAGAAAAAUCAUUACACCCUCGGGCUUUAAUUCUUUUGUCUUGCUUUUUUCUUUUUUUGAUUCAUUUCAAAGAUUUUCUUUUUUCUUUUUUUUAGUUCUAAUUUUUAAAUGAUAUGGUUAGAACCAUAAGAUUAAAAGUGUUUUGAUUCAUUUUUAUUUAUUUCUAACUUAAGAUUAUAAAAUUAAAAUUUUUAUUUUAUUUUUUAAACUCCAUAUCAAAUCAAAAUGGAUCAAAUAAAUUGACAUGGUAUAAGUAUUAAAGAAGAGCCGACAACAGAAUUAUAAAGGGACCCUGAUACUUUGAAAUUAGUGGGAGGAGAUGUCACCAUGGUGAAUACUAUAAUACGUGAUGAUGGGGAUUGUGGACACUUAGGCUUGGCCCCCACGUUCAUUAGAUUAAUAAUGAAGGGUCAAAAUUCUCUUUGUAAUAUCUCAGUGUGGAACAGUAUUCAACAGAGAGGUUAUAAUUAUUAUUAUUCCACGCAUUUUUUUGGCCAAGACAUAAUGAUGAUCUCUUUAGCCUUUUCUUCAGUUUGAAGAGGGCCAAAUUUUGAAAACCCAACUUGCCAGCACAAGCCUAGUUUUAGUCAAAGUUCAUUUGGAGCCAAUGUUACUUGAUUUUAACUAUGUUUCUCAACUUGAAAUGACUGAUAUUUUAAAUCUUAAAAGAGAUGAGAAGAAUAAUUGUCUUUUGUAUUUUCCAUUUUUUCUGUUAACAUGUUACAUUGUUCACUUUUGUUGGACUGAUAAUGUGACGGGACAUAAAUUGAAGUAGCCAUCUUCAGUUGCUCCAAAAUCUAUAAUUAGUCUUUCUUUAAAGAACUUCCGUGCUAAUCAGAAUUUUACUCGGUCAUUCUAUGACAAAUUUACUAGUUACAGAUACACAUAUACUACGUCAAUUGGGCAUAGUUAUGCUAACUGUGUAAAUGUACUAUGAUUUGCUUCCAUUCAGAUGCCAUUGCUGUAUUUAUACUCGUAAGUAGCUAUGUUUCAAGUAUCAUUCAUGCAGAGUUUCUCGUGCAGAUGAUUAAUUGGGGGAUAAAUACUGGUUCCGCCAACAUCGUGGCCGGUCAUGGUUGCAUGUUCAAACAUCUUGCUGAGAUAUCAAUGAAAGGUAGAAUUUGUGACCUGGUACAGUAGGUUAAGAAUACGCUGAUAGUGUAAAAUAUCUAUCUAUAAAUUUCUACCUCAUCAGUGUAUAUGAGUUAAAAUUCAUCAAUUUCAACUCCUGCGAGAUAUAUAUUAUCAAUAGAAGAGGCUAGCAAGACUUUCAGUUCCAGGUUAAAUAUGUGGAAGUGAUCUAAGGUUGACACAGCUUCAUGAAUCGUUCAUCAAAUGCCUUGUAUAAUGACGGUAUAACUUAGAGAGAAAAAAGGAAAUAUUACAAACGAUGAUAAUCCUACAAGAGUUGUGCACUUUGACAGAUCUCAGAGCCCUUAUUGAUAUUAGCAUAUACUAAACUGGAUGUAUUGGAAACUACUGACAUUUGUGCGAAAAGGACCAGUUACCAUUGUACAGAACAAAAGGUGCAUCAUUUGACAGCUACCAUCUCAGUGUGGAUUGAUCCAGCAAUAUGGAAGAUCAAAGUCAUGUGUUCUAUUUUUUUCUUUUUUCAUGUGAGUACAAUUAGUAAAUCAGUCACACUUUUGCAACCCUUCAUGCCGGAGACCCUUAGUUCUCUUUUCUAGUUGCUCCUUUGUGAGCUGCCAGUUCCUGAUGUGAACUAUGCACCUGUGUUUUGAUCCAUAAGAACAUGAUAAUACUUAUCUCAAGUCUUUUACCACACUUCUCUAACAAGUAGCACUCCUAUUUUAGUAAAGCAUAGAUAUGAUCACAAAAUGAAUGAAUUCAAAGAGGAAUCAAGGGAGAAUUCAGAUUACAGUAGACUAGAAGUCUCAGUUCAAGUCCUGGGUGCAUUUCCUCCUUAAAUACGCCCUACUGGCAUGAAUCUGGAUUAGUUGGGGGCCCAAUGCGUUUACCGGACACCGGGUGGGAAACCAAAAAGAUGUAGAGAAGUUUCGGGCAAAAGCAAAGCAAAUACAUCUUAUGCACUCCGGCUAAUUAUCUCAAGUGCAGAGAUCAAUGACUAUCAUUGUGGGAAACAGCCUCUCUACCUCCCAAGGUAAGGGUAAGGUUUGCUUAUACACUACCCUCCCCAAACCCCACCUGUGCGAUUGCAUUGAGUACAUUGUUGUUUUAGUGGAGAUCAAUGACAAUAAAAUGCAAAUAACCUCUAAGAACCAUAUGAGCUAUAAGCUGAUUUUAUCCUCUGCAUGCUAAAAAUGCUUACUCUGCUAGUGUUUCCUGAGAGAAUCAUAGCCAUAUAACAUCUGAGGGAAUUCGCAAACCAUGUCUCUAUGAUUCAAUCGACAAAAGUUCAGUGUCUUUCUAUGCUAGACAUGAUUCUCCUUUUCUAAUUUUCCUCAACUAGUAACAGCAUUUGUAGUGAAAUUUCAUAUCCAUCCUAGUGUUCCUCUCCAGGAAGACGCAUUUUCUGAUCUCCAUAGUUAGCUUCCCCGUCCAUUCAAAAAUUGCAUACCUGACAAGGCACAUUAAUCCUGGUCUUGAAAGCCUUUUCCAACUGUUGUGAGAAAUAUUAAAUGAAAAUCAACACAGAACGCCACACUCAGCCAGCCAAAAAUGUAAGCAAAAAUCAUUGUUUACUAAUUCACUGACCAAUCUUAUAUACUCAUUCUAGAGAGUCUUUAAUGCUAGUAUGCUACCAAUUCAUCAUACAAGCUUCUCAUCCAAAGUUUUGGAUCCUAAUUGCAUGAAGUUUUUAGGUUAUUGCAGUCCAGACUCCAGACUAGAAACUGAAAGGUUGGUCGAACAAUUGAAGUCAUUCCUCAUAUAUCAUUAGAUUGAUGAGUGACAAAAGAUGCACUCUUGCAACCGCAUAUACCUCACCCCUAAAGCAUAUCCAUUAUUGUUGGGUAAGUAUGCACGCAAAUCUGGUGUCCAAUCCUGAUCAUAGAACCUUUUGAAAUUUUUAUUAAGCAGGAAUAGUUGCUGCGUAAGUCAACUCAUUAAACCCAGCAAGGCUCAUUAAUGUAUAGCCAGUUAGGAUAUUUUGGGAGCAUAGAAGAUAUGGAGGAGCUAAUACAAGCAGAGAAGAGAUGAGGAUCAUAACUGAAGCGACAUGAAUUGUCUGUUGACAGAGGAACAAAUCAAUCAGCAAGACACCAAGUCGAGAAUAUACCAAUCUCAACAAGUCUAAGCUUCAUUUUGUGUGCGGAGGCUACAUGAUUUUCAAAGGAAAUUACUGAUAUAAAGCUACCUCUUAAUCUUGCUAUACUGCAAGAUUGAGAAGUCGCAUUAUCCAUGCUGGCAAUAUAGGUAGAAGAUUUUUAUGAGGAUACAGAAAGCAUAUGGAGAUGAGGAAGGGGAAACCAUGUUUAGAAGUCAUUAAUUAAAUACGUCCAACAAUAUCUCAAAACCAUUAAGAAAUUGAAAUCCACCUUGAAUAGAAGAUUAAUUUGCAAAGUGAAAACCACAACCAAAAACCAUAGAAGCUCAUGAUUGAUCCCCCAAAAAUGGAGCAACACUAACAAAGUAGACAAGCAAAAUCCAGUCAACCAAACUAUAUUUUCUCUUGCAAGUGAGAUUAAGCAAUCCAUUUCACCUAAUACUUUGACACAUUUGCCAACCCCUAGCAUAUAUGUUACACUGUGUUUAAAGCCUACAAAAGACAGUAAUUUCCCAACAACAUCGGAGCAACGGAAUCAAUAGAAUCUUUAUGUUGCAGAAUCCAAUAUAGACAGAUAUAGACAGUCUGAAUUUGGCCACAGAAAGAAGAAGAUAAAAAGGAAAGAGUAAUGGAACUUCAAUCAAAUGGAGUAUGAUCUCAGCCAAAUACAUGUAUUAUCUGAUAACAUAUAAACCAUGAUUAAUUAGCUACUAUCUCCCUAAAUCACCUUCCUUUUUAUCAUAACUAAACUACUCAAGCCAACUGGUAGUUCCCAUUGACAUACUGUGGCUACCAACUGUAGGACCUCCAUCCCCCAAGCAAGAAUAAGAGGCUGUCCUCUCCUUACAGUCUGACAAAUGGCUUUCCGCUCCGGAGAGCAUUUUUUGUCUACGCUGGUCAAUGGAAGCCCCCUAUCAAGCAAGGAGGAAGCAGCUCUUACCACGGCGAAGUCACAAAUGACUACUUAUUAUUAUAGUAAAUCAGUGUAUCAAGAUGGUGAUUUCAUAACCUGAGCCUCCCUUAACCAGCCGACCUUACUUAGUAACCUUAGCCUCCCUUUCUUCAUAAUUUUCUCGUUCGACUAAGUGACUUCGUAAACUCGACCUACUUUUCGUACUGUUCCAUAAAUAAGGGCACAAAGUUCCUUUUUUUCCUCUGAUAAACUUGGAUAUCUCUAUCUGCGUUUUUUCCCCUUCUAAAAUCUAAGAUGAAGCCUUCAAAGAGGUCACCAGAGAGCACAAAUUGUCAAAGAAAUAACAGACUUCUAACACAACAAAAAAACGAACUUUAUGCCCUCAAAUUUAUUCUAUUUGACACAAUUCACAAACCCAUGCCAGAUUUACAUCACUAUUUACAAACACAACAAACCCCACCACUCAAAAAAAAAAUUCUUGUAUAUCAGCAAAAACAUAAGUAAAUCAAGAAGAAGGAAGCUUAAUAGUGAUAGAAGAGUCGUCGCGAGCGAUGGGUUUGGUGAGCAUAAGAGGGCGGUCCUUGGUCUCCUCAAAAUCACAUCCAUCAUCGUCGCAGUCGUUGCCGGCGUUAAGGUUGAUGCAGGAGCAUCGUUCAAGUGACUGGAAGAAGGCGGAGGCGAUGCUGGUCCCCAACCAAAUCGCCAUUGACAUAAACCCAGAAUCGUCUUCCUCUGACCGACUCCGCAACAUCUCUCUUCGCUUUUUCGUCUCCCGAGUUCUACCACCGCUGAAACGAACAAGAAAAAUAAGCCACCAAGGCCUGGGCAAAUUUCCAAUUAAAAAAAGGGAACAAGUAUAUCCCACAAACUUGUUCUUAAAAAAAAAAUAAUUAGGAUAGCUGUGGAACAAUUAUAUUAAUUGUAACAUAGUUAUGAAAUAAUUAUAUUAGUUGUCUGAAGAAUUUUGUGUAGUUGUUUAACAAUUUCUCUCAAUUGUCAUAACUAGGAAUAACUAAGUGCAGUUGUUGAACAAUUUUGAUAGUUAUUGAACAAUUUAUAAUUAUCAAACUUUAUCGAACAACUAUCAAAGUUGUUCUACAACUGUCACAAAUUAUUCGAACAAAAAAAACUUAACAAAAAAAACUCAAAAAAAAUUAUUCUUUCAACCUAAUUUAAAAAAUUUGAAAGACUUUCUUUAAUUGGACAAUUUAUGUGUUCUUUCUAAUUCAAAGUCCCAAAACAAACAGAGGCUCUUCAGGGUCCGUGACAUAUACAACUACUGAAUUGUUUGGUACCGGAAUACACCAUUUACUACCCGCUGG